Molecule: long non-coding RNA, 51602 nt
Filed under: Lathyrus oleraceus (garden pea)
Lineage: Eukaryota; Viridiplantae; Streptophyta; Magnoliopsida; Fabales; Fabaceae
Description: Pisum sativum (pea) long non-coding RNA (PSAT_LNC011999)
Rfam family: Plant small nucleolar RNA R71 (bases 21067-21173)
Source: RNAcentral
UCAUCUGUUACAUGUGCUAUUUUAAAGAAGAUCAUGGAAUGGCAAAAGCUUGGAUGUGGCUAUCUUUAUUUGAUGCCUAUGCUCUUCAAUAUAAUAUAAUUGUGCAUUUGUGUGUUGCUUGAUUGUAAAAGUCUAAGGGAAUUCUGGGUUUCUAUUGAUAUUCUUGUCUAUGGGAUAGCUACCCAUUUGGUCAGAUCUUUUCAACUCUCAACUUUUAAUUUUGUGCAUAGGAUUAGUCUCUUCAUCUUCUCCCCAAUUCUUUAAUUUCAAAAUCUCUCCCUCCCUUUUCAAAAUCUUCUUUGAUUGAACUUAUUUUGUUCUAAACUUUGACCACUUUGCAAAAAAGAUAGAAACUUUGGCCUUAUGCCAUUGCAUUCUCAAACUUCUUUUCUUAAAUCAAACUUGUAAAUAAACUUAACCAUACUUGACUUUAACUUUCAAAAAAGCCAAAAAGAACUACCUCAUUCAAACCAUUUUUAGGCCUUUGUGCCUUUCAAACUUAAUUUCUAUUAAAAUCAAUGCAUCCACUUUAAAAUUUGUAUCACGAACUACGAGGUUUUGAUCCCUCAUUUUUAUGUUGGUACGUAGGCAUAAGACCGAAGGUCUUGCCAAACACAAAAAUAUAUUUAAUGAAUUCUUUUCUCAUCCCCCAUUCUAUUUUGUUUGUAAACAUCAUUUUAUACAAAAUACAUAUGCACACAAAAAGGGCUCUCUAGGAGUACCUAGGACACUUUGGGUGUUAACACCUUCCCUGUGUAACCAACCCCCUUACCUGUAAUCUCUGACAUUUUAUUAGUUUUAAUUUGAAAACUUUUUACUUUUGGGUUUUGUUCGUACAUUUUCCCUUUUCCCUUGGAAACAAUAACAGCGCGGUGGCGACUUUUGUUAUUUGAUCUCUAGCUUAUCCAUAGCUUGAUGAUCAUGAAAUUACCGCUACAAAAUGAUCGUGAAACAAAUAGGUCAACUUUUAACUAAUAAAAUUAAUUAAUUAAAAUUCAAUUAAGCCAUCUAAUUAAGGUAAUUAAAAUUAAUUAUCAAAAUUAUUCAAUUAAAAAUUAAUGUAAUCAAAUAAUUAAGUUAAUUAAAAUUAGUUAACGAAAUUAUCUAAUUAAUCAAGACUUUAAUUAAUUAAUCAAUUUAGAAAAAGAAAUAAGUGACAAUAUUGAAUAUUAAAUAAUCGAAUCGAAUCAGCCACUAUAUGCUCAUAAACCGGUCUGUAAAAUGCCACAAUGGAACUGGAAUGACAUCUGUGAAGAUCAAAACGCGGUGAAAUGCCACAUUUGAUUUGUUGGAUCCGCGAAUUAAAAUUCCAUUUUAAGCGCAAUGAAGACCCAAUAGCAACCCAAUCAAUAUAUGACAUGUAACACUAAUAUUAACAAUGAUUAUAAAAUAAUACCAAACUUUUGCUUUCUCUUAUUCAUGUGAAGUUCAUAUACAUGACAAUAACAUUUCCUCAACUUCACGCUCUUGAAUUAACAAAUUGAUUAAUUAUUCAUCACCAAUUUCCACACUUCAAAUAAUAAUCUAAAACCGAACUCUGACUUUUCAUAUUAAGGCAUAUAUCAUGUUUUGAGAAAAGACAAUGUACUUAUUAACAAAAGAAAAGAAUUAGAAAAAAAAGAUUGUCAAUACAAUGAACACAAUGUAUUAGAGUGGAAUAACCAAGGCUAUGAAUACAAUGCCUCGUUACGAGCCUCCCUGGAAUAAUAAUAUCAUCAUCACCUAACCAAUGUUCAAAUUAAAACACCAAAGACUAUGAAGGAUUCAGUGCGUCUUAAAGUCACAACAACAAGCAUAAUCCCACAACAGUAUACAUCCCCUUUAUAAAUUUAUAUUAAACUUAGAUUUUAAUAUUAUUGAAAGAACUAAAUCCAAACUUAAAUGUAUAAGUUAAACAUAAACAAUUAGCCAAAAGGAAACAGUGGAGCGUUACCUAAACAACUAUAUGGUCGGAGAUCGUGGGCGGAGAUUUGGGCUGUCGCUCAGAAAUCGCGGUUGUUGGCGACGAUUUAGGGAUAUCGACGGUGAGUGGUUGUUGUUGGAGGAAGGGGGCGUCGCCGACGAUUAAGAAGGUUUGAUGUGAGAGUAGGUGUGAAAAGGAGGAAACGGCGGUUUCACGGUGGGUUUCGCGAUGGUGGUGUAGUGGAUGUCAUUCGUCGGAAAGGAGAAGAGGAGUUGUUGUGACGGCUGGUCCAGGCGGUGGAUUUAUUGGAGAUUUAGAUGGAGCUUCCGGUGAGGGAGGGGUCGCGGAUGGAGGUCGAAGGUAGUUUCCGACGGUGGUGGUUGGAGUUUGGGAUUUCGCGGCGACGAGAUGAAGAGUGAAUGGGUUAUGCGUUGUUGUUAGGUUGGAACGCGGACGGAGGUUUGCCGGCGGUGAGCGGAUCUGUGUUGAUUCCGACGGAAGGAAGGCGGUUGUUUGGCGCUGUGGAGAAGAAUAGGGAACAAUUUCUUUCUCUUUUUAUUUUCCUCCCCUUUCUUCAUGUUCAGAGGGAGAGAUUAUCAUUUUGGAGAGUGAGAGGACUGGUUUUCUUGUGGUCCUCUCUCUUAUUUUCUUUAUCGUUUUCUUUUUUCUAUUUUCUUGAUUUUUUGCUAAGAGAGAGUGAUUAUUGAGGAGUCAGGUCAGUCCCCUAGAGAGAGAAGAGAGGUCGCCUUUUAUUUUGUGGAUUCCCUUUUUUUUUUAUCGUUUUCCUUUCUUUUAGCGGACCGUUGGAGACCCUUAGUGGAGAUAGAUGCGUGCUAGCUGUCACCUUUUUCCAGCGAGCGAGAGAGAGGAUUUGGAAGAAACUUUUUAUUUUAUUUAUUUUCAGAUUUUUUUAAUAAUAAUAUUAAUUAAAUCUCAAAUUUUGAUUGGAUAAAGGGGAUAAGUGUGAAUUGCUAAUUAGGAGCAUUGAUUAAUUUGAAUCGAUGAUUCAGAUUAAAUCAAAGAAGCACAAACAAUUUAAAAUGGCAAAGUUCCCCUUCUAGAUGAUUUAAAUGGAAUUAAAUCAAUGAAUUCAAAUAAAAUUCACAACUUUUCACAUAAUCAUGAUAAAAUUAAAAUAAGAGCAUGGAAAAUUCUAUUUAUUUAAUCUGGAAAUUUUGGCGAAAGAAUAAAAUUAAAACGAAUAAAAAUAAAUAAAAGUCGGGCGAAAAUUAUCUUGAAAAAUUAAAUCGGAUGCACUAAAAUGAUCAGCACGAAAUAUACUUAUUAAAAAAAUACAGUGUUUCUUUAAAUUCUAAAAUAAAUUUUCACCGGUUAAAAGGCUCAAACAGAUUAAAAUGCAACUGAAAAAGUCGUCGAAAAAUAUAACGAGCACACCAGGCUGAACCACGUGAACUGUAGAUUAAUAAUACUGGCGUGUGUAAGUUUGAUUUCGAAACUUUUUACCCGCUGAUUUUGCACGUACUUGAGGAAUGAUUUAACCAAUUUGACUGUAUAUUCGAGAAUUCAUUUCGAUUGAUAUUUUAGGUAUUAUUCAUGAUGAAGUGCAUUUUAUGCUGUACAUAUGAUGCAAACUGAAAUUAAAAUCGAAUUUAUAAAAGUUUUAAAAUGCCCGGACAAAAUUGGGGUACGAAAAGACUCGAAUUUUGUCCUUUGGAAACACAAGGAAGAAAUGCAGAAAGAAAAUGCAGUGAGAAAUACAGUAAGAAAUGUUUUUAGGAGGUAAAAUGAAACAAUCAAGACUCUCUGGGAAUCGUCAUAACAAUAUCUCGGAUGUCACAAUCGAGAUUUUCCAACAAUGGAAUGAUACCUCAACUGUACCUAAGACUUUCUGAGCAUUAGCAGAACAACGUCUUGAUUUGAAUGCAUGAGAUUCUCUGAGUAUCAAUGAAGCAAUAUCCCAUAUGAUAUAAUCAAGAUAUUCCGACAAGGGAAUGAUACCUCAAUCGUAUUUAAGAUUCUCCGAGGACACCUAGAUCAGUAUCUCUAAAAGUUGAAUGAGACUCUUCAUAUCGAUGAAGUAGUAUCUUAAACAGAUAAAUGAGAUUCUCUAUAUCACACUGAAGCAACAUCUUAUAUGAUAGAAUUACGAUAUUCCAACAUGGGGAAUGAUACCUUAAUUGAAUCUAAGACUUUUCAAGGAUACUAGAGAAGUAUCUCAAAAAACAAGUGAGAUUCUUCAUAUUGAUGAAGCAGUAUCUCAAAUAUUCGUCUGUUGGGGGAAAUAUCUUAGAAAAGACUCUUUUUGGAGGAGAUUUACUGGAAAAGCUCUGUAGGGGGAAAGCUCAUAAGAGACUUUUUAUGGUAACCUCUGCUUGGAGAGGAAUGAUAGCAAAGAAAAUGUUUGGAAUAUCAUUAUUAAUCAUAAAGUUGAAAAAUGAUUUGCUGAGAAAUAAUUCCACGAGCACAUGCAGGGUAAUAACUUUAUUUAGAAAUAAGGAAAGUUGGGGAUGCAUAUGAAUGACCCUGGAUCCUGAUAUUUUGGUGUGAUUUUUGUAUGAUAUUCCACUUUAGGUGGAAAUACCAUGCAUGGGAUGAUGCAUGAUAUACAUUCAGGGAUGCAAUUGCUGGGGAUAUUUAGGAUGUGCAUGGGAAUGUAACUGAUUUUUGAUUUUAUAUAAGGUUAUGCAUAAGUAUGCUGAUGAUUGGUGGUAUCAUGUUUGAUGAAUUUUUCAGUUUGGUAGGAAAAUAAUUUAUGAAUGAUUCAUGUGAUGCAUGUGGGAAUACAAAUGGGUAACUGUAUAUUUUUGUAGGGCUUUAUUUUUUCAAUGAGAUUGUUGGAGAAUAUCAUCAUCAAAGGGUUGAUGGAAAGGUAAUUGUCAUCGUCAAAGAGUUGACGGAAAGGUAAAUGGCAUCAUUAGAGGGCUGAUGGUAAUUAAUUUGUUGUAAAAUGUCAUCAUCAGAGGGCUGAUGGAAAAGAAUUUGUCAUCGUCAAAGGGUUGACAAAAAGAAAUAAAGGAUGUCAUCACCAAAGGGUUGGUGGAAUAAAAAUUUGUCAUCGUCAAAGGGUUGACGGAAAGGAACUUUGUCAUCGUCAAAGGGUUGACAAGAAGAAACUUCACUAUGGAGUGGCAUCAUCAAAGGUUUGAUGGAAAUUUUUUAUCAUCAUCAAAGGCUUGACGGAAAGAAAUAAACGAUGGCAUCACCAAAGGGUUGGUGGAAAAGGAAUCAUAUAUGUAGUAUCAUUGUCAAAGGGUUGACGGAGGGAAACUUCACUAUGGAGUGGCAUCACCAAAGGGUUGGUGGAAAAGACUGUCAUCAUCAGAGGGCAGAUGGAAAAGAGUUUGUCAUCGUCAAAGGGUUGACGAAAAUAAACUUCACUAAGGAGUGGCAUCAUCAAAGGGUUAAUGGAAAAGGAGACCUCACUAUGGAGUGGCAUCACCAAAGGGUUGGUGGAAAAGGACGAUCAUCAUCAGGGGGCUGAUGGAGAAGAGACCUCACUAUGGAGUGGCAUCACCAAAGGGUUAGUGGAAAGGAUGAUUAUCAUCAAAGGGAUGAUGGAGAAGAGACCUCACUAUGGAGUGGCAUCACCAAAGAGUUGGUGGAAAGGAUGAUCAUCAUCAGAAGGCUGAUGGAAAAGAGUUUGUCAUUGUCAAAGGGUUGACGGAAAGAAACUUUACUAGGGAGUGGCAUCAUCAAAGGGUUGAUGGAAAAGGAGACCUCACUAGGGAGUGGCAUCACCAAAGGAUUGGUGGAAAAGGAUGAUCAUCAUCAGGGGGCUGAUGGAGAAGAGACCUCACUAUGGAGUGGCAUCACCAAAGGGUUGGUGGAAAGGAUGAUCAUCAUCAGAGGGCUAAUGGAGAAGAGACCUCACUACGGAGUGGAAUCACCAAAGGUUUGGUAGAAAGGAUGAUCAUCAUCAGAGGGCUGAUGGAAAAGAAAUUGUCAUCGUCAAAGGGUUGACGGGAAGAAUCUUCACUGUGGAGUGGCAUCAUCAAAGGGUUGAUGGAAAGAAUUUAUCAUCAUCAAAGGGUUGACGAAAAGAAACUUCACUAGGGAGUGGCAUCAUCAAAGGGUUGAUGGAAAAGGAUGAUCAUCAUCAGAGGGCUGAUGGAAAAGAGACCUGACUAUGGAGUGGCAUCAUCAAAGGGUUGAUGGAAAAAAUUAAAAGACGUCAUCACCAAAGGGUUGGUGGAAAAGAAAUGGUCAUCAUCAAAGGAUUGACAGAAAUAAUUAAGGGAUAUCAUCACCAAAGGGUUGGUGGAAAAGAAAAUUUGUCAUCGUCAAAGGGUAGACGGAAAGGAACUUCACUAUGGAGUGGCAUCACCAAAAGGUUGGUGGAAGGAAAUUCGUUGUAAAAGGUCUUCAUCAGAGGGCUGAUGGAAAAAAGAGAUCAGGUUAUGUCCUCAUCAAGGGGUUAAUGGGAAGGAAUUAUUAUGUUAUGUAUGCAUAUGAUGCAUGUUAAUGGAAAUUUCUUGUUUUUGUGAGAGAGCUUUUGCUAUGCAACUUCCUGAUUUGGCAGGAGAGUCAUGUGUGUUCAUUGUAUGCAGUGCAUGUGGUAAUGCAAGAGGAUUAUCGGUUGUUUUUGGCUUAAUCUCCCUUUUGGGAGGUGAGACUUUCUUGAUACCAAUGUUGAUUGGAUUUGGAUUCAUGAAGAUGCCAACAAAGUGGAUUUUUAUUGGUUGCCAAUAUGGAUUGGACUUUGGUUUCGGAUAUGCCAAUAGGGAUUGGACUUUGACAUUAUGAGGAUGCCAACAAAGUGGACAUUUAUUUUUAGUAGUUGCCAAUAUGGAUUGGACUUUUGGUUGGUAAAAGGUUUUGACUUCCCGACACUCUGUAUUUUGAAGAUGCGAUGAUCAAAGGAUAGAUGUGGAUGCUUUUGGUGCCCCAAAUUUGAUCUGUUGUUGAUAUAUUGUGUGUUUAGUCUUGAGAGGACCUCAACUUCUUUGCUUGAUAUGCUUUGAUGGCUUGUAAAUGAGCAUAAUGACGUAAUCAAUGCAUAAUGAUUGUGCUCUUGCUCUUCCCUAAGGCUCUUUACAACUUGUAUGCCCCAACCUUUAGGGUCUUUUAAAGGAAUUCAUCUUUGAAAGGAAACCCUGGGAAUGCACAUACCAUGGCUUGAACCAACUUUGGCCCAGUACAUGGAUCAUGCAGUGGUUUUCCCCUGAUUAAGAUUUUGAAAGGCUUGCCCCAGAUGGACUGGAUAUUUUGAAAUUGUUUGCCUCCUUGAUCAACUGAUGCUUGGAGUUUGUCUUUUGACUGACCAAUUCAUAGUCAUUAGAUGCCAUGCCCUUGAUCCAUAGGGUUAAGAGGUGGUCUUGAUUCGGAUCAGCACCAACGGAUGUUCAAGUUCCUCUGAUUGUUCCUUAUUGUUGGAAUUUCCUUGAUAUAAAGUACUAACUUGCAGUUAAAAUUGUUUAUUUAAUCAAUGGUAAUUUUAAUGCGAUAUUCAUGCAGGUUUGAAAAAUCAUUUAUUGAGGUGAUGUGAUUAUGUGUGACGAAUGAACCAUUAGUCCAAACGCAGUGCUGAUUUAUCUAGUGUGUGAAAGAUAUAGCAAGAAUAUGAUCCCAUAUACAGGUGAUUAGCAAAUAUUUAGGAGCCAGUUUACACAUCUUUGCUGUAGUAUGCUUUCAGAAUAAACCUUUCUUCAAUUAGGUCUUUUAAGGGUUGUAACGUGGCUUGGUUCACGGUUACUGACACAAAGGAUGUAGGACUCAAAUUUUGUUUUAACCCACCCUAUCUUCAUGAUGAUCUCCAAUCCUACAUUAAGUUAAACACACACAUUCAACUUUUAAGAGAGUUUGGCAGUGUAAGAUCUCUUGAAAUGGCAGUCAUCUUAUUUUGCUCUUCAUGGAUGUUGGUGACACUUUGAUUUUGGUAUGGUGGUCACUGAAUCUUGUUUUGCUUUGUUGAGGGUUUUCAUUGCCUCUUUUGAUUUUUGUUUUGAUCCCUAACGUUUUCCUGUACCGCUUUUGAAGCUUUGGUCCAUCGGGAUUUCCCCAUGUUUUUGCCUAAGUCUCUUUUUGGGGAUCGACUUAGCAGGCUUUUUUUCUUUUGUUUGAAAAAUUGUGACUUCCAAGUCAUUGGUCAUUGAAGAACAAUCGACAUAAAUUUUGGAUUUUGUAUGGUUAUUUACCACUUCAGGAUGUGUUCGCAGAUUAUCAUGUGGUUGAUCCUCUGACGGGGUGUUUCAUCUUAUAAUUUGAAUGCGUAGUCAGAUUAACUGAACACUACCCUGCCCCAGGUUAAGCGUAAGGGUUUGUAAAUCCGAAAUAAAGUCCUACUUCUAGGCUCGAAGUGGUUGACUAGGGAUUAACUCCUUAUCUCUCCAGUGUUUGGGGAUUUAAAACAAUGCCUGUACAUCAUCAGCAAGAUUUUAUCCGAAAGCAUACAGUCAGCCAUUAUGGGUAUUUCAUUUUCGUCAUCCUCCCUUCAAUCUUUUCUAAAAUAACUAUUUGAUAAACGAAUGGGAGUAAUAUUUUUGUUUUUUGAUAUAAAUGGAAAAUAUGAGUGAAUACGAAAGGAUUCAUUAAAAACACACAUAAUCAUUUCAUUAAUAUUACCAUUAAAAGAAGUCAACAAUACUUGAAAGCAGAUAAGUACCUGACAUGCAAAGAAAAAUACAAAUGAAAUGCUAGAAAUAGCCAAAUGAUAGUCAAUGCAGAGGAAGCUCUCUCGUGUCUAGUUCACUACUGGGCUAGCCUCCUUCAGAGUAGUGGUAGUUUUGCUCGUCGAGACUAGUAUGAUAAUCAUCUUCAGACCUAUUCUCGGAAUUUUCUUCCAUAACAUGGACUGAUGGACCCACAUAUCUAGGUGAAGAAGUAUUAUUGAUUUUCAAGCUUCGAGGUGUAAAUGAGAACAUCUUGGAAUCAAGCAGGGUUUGUACUUUUCUCUUGAGAACCUUACAGUCUUUAGUUGAAUGCCCAUGUGCCCCAUCAUGGAAGUCACAUUGGGAGUUGGCGUCAAAACCUGGUGGAUACAGAGGAAUGACUGGAUUUAGCUUCUUUGGCACUAUCAGUCCUCUCUCAAUCAAAUACGGAAGUACUUGACUGUAUGUCAUUGGAAGUGGAUCGAUGUGUCUCUCUAGCUUUCUUGGCCUUCAUUGAGCCUGUUGACAUUGUCGAUGUGGAACAUCCUGUCAUUUGUAUGGUCGUUGAGGUGGAACUGUUGUUGAUGUUGAGGAGAUCUUUGAUGUGGAGAGGAUGAUCUCUGAUAUGGAGCUUAUGGGAUUUCCCAAACUGCAUUAAUUUCAACCUCUUCUUCCUUUAGUGAACUGAUAAUAUAUUCAAUCUCAAUGUUCUGGCUAUUUGAGGCGUGUUGGAUUCUUCCACUUUCAAAGCCAUACUCGACGCGUUCUCCAAUUGACACCAAGUGAGCGAAGUCUGAUGCUACACUGCUAAUCAUCCUUUCGAAGUAAGGGCUUUGCAAAGUAUCCCUGAAUAAUCCCAUCAAUUCUUUUUCUAAGAGUGGUGGUUCAAUGCAAUCCGCUAACUCUCUCCAUCUUUGGGCAUACCCUCUGAAGGAUUCAUCGCUUUCCUUAGAUAAGGCUCUUAACUGCAUGUGAUCAGGAGCUAUGUCCAAAUUAUAUUUGUAUUACUUCAAGAAGUCGUUAGCUAGGUCCAACCAUGGUUGAACAUGAUUCCUUUCUAACUUCAUAUACCAACUCAUUGAUGCCCCAGUUAAACUGUCUUGAAAACAAUGAAUCAUUAGCUUAUCAUUAUGGGCAUGAGAGGUCAUUUUUCGACAAAACAUCACCAAAUGGUGCUUUGGAUAGCCACCCCCUUUGUACUUCUCAAAUUUUGGUACUUUGAAUUUUGGGAUUAUAACCAGGCUAGGUACCAAACACAUGUUUGAAGCAUUCAGUUCAGGAUUAUCUUGUCCUUCUAUGGCCUUGAGUCUUUUCUCAAGCACACAACAUCUUUCAACGAUCUCAUCAUCUUGUGGUCAUUCAGUAUUAACCACUAGGCGUGUUCCAUGGGAAUUUGGCACGGAGAAUGCAAAGUUAUGAUAUUCAACACCAUCAUGAUAUGAGGAAUCUCGAACAUUAUGACGUUCUUGUACAACAGGGUUAUCAACUAGGGUUUGCACGGGCCGAGGCUGGGUGAGAUCAUUUAUUGGAGCUGGAAUAACAUUCUCAAUGACUGUAGUCUACUGAAUGUUGUCUUCCCUCUUUGAUAAAGCUAUCAUAGCCUCAACAAGUUAGUCUAUCUGGUUUUUCAUCGAGUCAACAUCUCCUCUUAAUGCAAUAUGACUUUGCUCCAAUGGAUCCAUGGUCUUUCAAGAGCUACUUCAAGUAUGAUAUGAGUGUCGGGAAUUCAACUGCAGGUUAUGAAGGAUGGAUGAGUCUUUUGUAUAUUUUGUGAAAAAUGAUAUGUAACGCAUGAUAAAUGCAGAUGCCGUGAUAUGUGUAUGAAUGAAGUGACAUGUUCAGGAUCACAGGUUCAAGGUAUUCUCAGGUUAAUUAGAAUAACGGGUAAAUGAUAGGUAUCUCUGAUUAAUGGAACCCCAUGGGAUAGGCUCUACAGUUGGUAGGUUCUUAGAGUCACGAAUAUUUCUUGAGAACAUCAUUGUCGUGACGAAGACUCAUCGGAUAAUAAUAUCCUUAAGAUGAUCUCGUCUAGGCGAGGUCUUCGUAUUGUCCCAACAAGGAAGGCUCCAUGGGGAUUCUACUACACAACUCUCGAGUCCAUGGUUCUAACAAGGUUCUUAGAGUCAUAGAUCGAGGUUGGAAAUAUUACUGUAAGAUAGUAAUACGUCCAAGGGAUCUCAUCUGAUUGGGGCUUUCAUAUUAACCCAACAAGUCUGAAACUUCGUAGGUUAAUACUACAUAAACGCCGGAUAGAGUGGGUUAAAAGGUCCCUAGAGUCAUUGAUCCAACUUGAAAAUACUAUCGUCGUGAAGAAGACUCGUUGGACAAUAAUAUCUCAAGAGAAUCUACUCUAGGUGGGGUCUUUGUAUCGUCCCAACAAGGAAGACUCCUUGUGGGCCUCCACCACACAACCACCAACUUAAUCUUAUGGUACUUCUCAGACUCGGGUGUAGAGCCUGUCUCACAAGGUACCAAUAACCAGAGAGCCCCAAAUAAGACAUAGUUAAUAAACCACAAAUCAAUAAUUACAACAGAAUAAUAAUAACAGAAUAAAGGUAACAAAAAAACAAGGUUAACACUCAACACAGAAACUGAACUAAGUUAGGCUUGACUCUCUCUUGCUUAGAGCUAAAUGUCCCCUGCAGAGUCUCCAUCUGUCGCAUCUCGAAAAAUACGAUUCCUCGCGAUGGUCGCGGAAAAAUUAUGUUCGAACAGAGUCGCCACCUACCUUUAUUUAUCCCAAUGAAGGAAUAGGAAAAUAUCGAUAAAACCUUUAGAAAGUAGAAUAAUGGUCAUCGCAACCAUAUUCGAGUUCCGGAGUCGAUUACGCAAGGGGAAGGUAUUAGCACCCCUCACGUCUGUUGUACUCAACGGGAACCUUUUAGUUUAAUUUGAGAUUUGAAUGUUAGCUUAUGUUGUUUGUUUUCUUCGAGUGAAUAAAAGAUUAAAAUAGAGAUGGAUGGAAACCUCAUAAAGGGGAAAGGGAGGUUUUUUAUUAGUGUGCUCGCCAAGAUCUCGCAAUCUCGUGCCUACGUAUCCUUAUGGUGCAAUAAGGAAAUCAGAGCAUUCGUAGUUCGGGGAACUACGGUUUGUUGGCGUCUUUUAGCGAACAACUGUUUAGAUCGCGUUCUAAAGGUUAAAUGUUGGCUUGCCUACUCUCGACGUAGGCUUAAGCACUAGUUUGUUGUGUGCAUUAGAAAGGAUUAAACAGUGUUCUUUCUGAAAAGAGUUUUGGUCACACGGGGGUGACAAGUUGAGUUAAUAUGUUGGGUGUUUUGUUGGAUUGGUUUUGAUCGCACGGGGGAGAGAAAGAGAUUUAAUGUGUUGUGAUAUCUUGUUGGAUGAUGAUUACUCGGAUGAUCGAGUAAGACAACUGUGAUAUCUUGUUUGAUAAUAAUUAAGGUGUUUUAAAAGGAUGAAGAAUACUCGGAUAGUCGAGUAAGACAACUCUUAUCCUAAUAGUCAGGAAAGGGAAUAAAAGACUCUAGACCACCUUCUUUUUCAUCUGAGUGAUUGUGAGAAUAGGAUUAUGUAUGGUUGAUGUAUUUUUCGAAUGAAUGACAAGUACUUGAAUGGCUGAGUAAGACAACUCUUAUCCAAGCAUUUGAGGAGAGGAAUCGAAGGCUCUAGACCAUCUCCCUUUUCGCAUAGUUUAUUGUGAAAAUGAUUUAAUUAAGUUAUAUGUUUGUGGAAAAAUGACAAUUGUUUGACUAACCGAGUAAGAGAACUCGUAUUCAAUCAAUAUAGAAGAGAAGUUGAAGGCUAAAAAUCAUCUCCCUUUUCAUUUCAUUAUUAUGAAAAUAAUUUGAUUUAAUCUUGGUUUAAGGUUUGUAAAGAAACGACGAUUGUCUAACUGAGCGAGUAAGAAAACUCGUAUUCAAACAAUCGAGGAGAGGAGUUAAAGGCUUAAAAUCAUCCCCCUUUUCAUUUAGUUUAUUAUACGAAUGUUUUGAUUUAAUUAUGCUUAAGCGGAUUAGAAAUGACAAUUAUUUGACUAACCGAGUAAGAGAACUCGUUAAUCGAGGAGAGGAGUUGAAAACUCAAAACCAUCCCCCUUUUCACUUCGUAAUUAUGAAAUGGUAUUUAAUUGUGAUUAGGUGUUUUGAUAAUUAAUUUUGAACAACAUACACGACAUUGGAUCGAGGGUUGAAUUGGUGUUUGUGAAUAAAUUAUAUUUUAAUGAAUCAAUCAUCUAAUCGAUUAAUUAAUAACCGAAUAGGUCUCACUGUAAGAAAGCUCAAGAGUAAGCUAUGUGAGGUUGAUGGCGAUGCUUAGAAGCAAUCGACUUACAAGGUAUUUGAAAAUAGGCUCGACAUGGAAUCGAGAAGUAUGUGAUCUUUUAAAUGGUUUGAAUGGUUUAUAUUAUGAAGUGAUAGCAAAAAUGAUCGUGAAACAAAUCGGUCAACUUUUAAAAAAUAAAAUUAAUUAAUUAAAAUUCAAUUAAUCCAUCUAAUUAAGAUAAUUAAAAUUAAUUAUCAAAAUUAUUCGAUUAAAAAUUAAUGUAAUCAAAUAAUUAAGUUAAUUAAAAUUAGUUAACGAAAUUAUCUAAUUAAUCAAGACUUUAAUUAAUUAAUCAAUUUAGAAAAAGAAAUAAGUGACAAUAUUGAAUAUUAAAUAAUUGAAUCGAAUCAGCCACCAUAUGCUCACAAACCGGUUUGUACAAUGCGACAAUGGAAUUGAAAUGUCGUAUGUGAAGAUCAAAACGUGGCGAAAUGCUCGAUUGAUUUGUUAAAAUUUAAUGAUAUACCAGCAUGAAAUUGCCGGAUCCGCAAAUUAAAAUUCCAUUUUAAGCGCAAUGAAGACCCAAUAGAAACCCAAUCAAUAUAUGACAUGUGACACUAAUAUUAACAAUGAUCAUAAAAGAAUACCUAACGUUUGCUUUCUUUUAUUCACAUGAAAUUGGUAUACAUGCCAAUAACAUUUCACCAACUUCACGCUCUUGAAUUAACGAAUUGAUUAAUUAUUCAUCACCAAUUUCCACACUUUAAAUAAUAAUCUAAAACCGAACUCUGACUUUUCAUAUUAAGGCAUAUAUCAUGUUUUUAGAAAAUAGAAUGUACUUAUUAACAAAAGAAAAGAAUUAGAAAAAAAAAUUGUCAAUAUAAUGAACACAGUGUAUUAGAGUGGAAUAACCAAGGCUAUGAAUACAAUGCCUCGUUACGAGCCUCCCUGGAAUAAUAAUAUCAUCAUCACCUAACCAAUGUUCAAAUUAAAACACCAAAGACUAUGAAGGAUUCAGCGCAUCUUAAAGUCAUAACAACAAGCAUAAUCCCACAACAGUAUACAUCCCCUUUGUAAAUUUAUAUUAAACCCAGAUUUUAAUAAUAUUGAAAGAACCAAAUACAAACUUAAAUGUAUAAGUUUUACAUAAACAGUUAUCCAAAUGGAAAUAAUUGAGCGUUACCGAAACAACGGUAUGGUCAGAGAUCGUUGGCGGCGAUUUGGGAUGUCGCUCGGUAAUCGCGCAUGUUGGCGACGAUUUGGGGAUAUCGACGGUGAGUGGUUGUUGUUGGAGGAAAGGGGCGUCGCCGACGAUUGAGAAGGUUUGAUGUGAGAGUAGGUGUGAAAAGGAGGAAACGGCGGUUUCGCGGUGGUGGUGUAGUGGAAGUUGUUCGUCGGAAAGGCGAAGAGGAGUUGUUGUGACGGACGGUUCCAGGCGGUGGAUUUAUUGGAGAUUCGGAUGGAGUUUCCGGUGAGGGAGGUCGCGGAUGGAGGUCGAAGGUAGUUUCCGGAGGUGGCGGUUGGAGUUUGGGGUUUCGCGGCGACGAGAUGAAGAGUGAAGGGGUUGUGCGUUGUUGUUGGGUUGGAACGCGGAUGGAGGCUUGCCAGCGGUGAGCGGAUCUAUGUUGAUUCUGGCGGAAGGAAGGCGGUUGUUUGGCGCUGUGGAGAAAAAUAUGGAAAAAUUUCUUUCUCUUUUUAUUUUCUUCCCCUUUCUUCACGUUCAGAGUGAAAGAGCGUCAUUUUGGAGAGUGAGAGGAGCGGUUUUCCUGUGGUCCUCUCUCUUGUUUUCUUUAUCGUUUUCUUUUUUCUAUUUUCUUAAUUUUUUGCUGAGAGAGAGUGAUGAUUGAGGAGUCAAGUCAGUCCCCUAGAGAGAGAAGAGAGGUCGCCUUUUAUUUUGUGGGUUCCUUUUUUUUUAUCGUUUUCCUUUCUUUUAGUGUACCGUUGGAGACCCUUAGUGGAGAUGGAUGCGUGUUAGUUGUCGUGUUAGUUGUCAUCUUUUGCCAGCGAGCAAGAGAGAGGAUUUGGAGAGAAACUUUUUAUUUUCAUAUUUUUCUAAUAAUAGUAUUAAUUAAAUCCCAAAUUUUGAUUGGAUAAAUGGGAUAAGUGUGGAUUGCUAACGAGGAGCAUUGAUUAAUUUGAAUCGUUGAUUCAGAUUAAAUCAAAGAAGCACAAACAAUUUAAAAUGGCAAACUUCCCCUUCUAGAUGAUUUAAAUGGAAUUAAAUCAUUUAAUUCAAAUAAAAUUCACAACUUUUCACAUAAUCAUGAUAAAAUUAAAAUAAGAGCAUGGAAAAUUCUAUUUAUUUAAUCUGGAAAUUUUGGCGAAAGAAUAAAAUUAAAACGACUAAAAAUGAAUAAAAGUCGGGCAAAAAUUUGCUCGAAAAAUUAAAUCGGAUGCAUGAAAAUGAUCAACACGAGAUAUACUUAUUAAAAAAAUACAAUGUUUCUUUAAAUUCUGAAAUAAAUUUUCAUCGGUUAAAAGGCUCAAAUGGAUUAAAAUGCAGCUGAAAAAGUCCUUGAAAAAUAUAACGAGCACACCAGGCUGAACCACGCGAACUGUAGAUUAAUAAUAAUGGCGUCUGUAAGUUUGAUUUCGAAACUUUUUACCCGCUGAUUUUGCACGUACUUGACGAAUGAUUUAACCAAUUUGACUGUAUAUUCAAUAAUUCAUUUCGAUUGAUAUUUUAGGUAUUAUUCAUGAUGAAAUGCAUUUUAUGAUGUACAUAUGAUGCAAACUGAAAUUAAAAUCGAAUUUAUAAAAGUUUUAAAAUGGCGGAACAAAAUUGGGGUAUGACAGGGUCUUUUCAACAUGUUUUGUCCUUACUCACACGCUUUCCAGGAAACUUCCCAGAAGGUCACCUAUCCAAAUACUACUCCAAGUCAAACACGCUUAACUAUGGAGUUCUUAUUUGUUAGGCUACCAAAAAGAAGAUGCAUCUUAUUGGUAUAGGUAGUACCAAUUAAUCCUUAUAAGGCUUCCUUCAACGAUGCAGUCCCAUACUUGCACAGCCUCAAGAUCCCUCUCAUUCCGAUGUGGAUUCAAUUUUUCCCUAGAAGCUGCUAGGAGUGUCCUUACUCACACGCUUUCCGAGAUCCCACCAGCUUCGACUUGGUUUUUCCCCGAACCAUAUUGUACUGGGAGAGGUACGACUCUGAUACCAUUUGUAACACCCCAGACUACUUUCAGAAUUAUCGAAUGACCCCACAAACCAACACGGGUCUUUUCAGCAUGUUUUAUCCUCACUUACACACUUUCCAGGAAACUUCCUAGACGGUCACUCAUCCAAAUACUACUCCAAGUCAAGCACACUUAACUAUGGAGUUCUUAUCUGUUAGGCUACUGGAAAAAAAGACGCAUCUUAUUGGUAUAUGUAGUACCAAUUAAUCCUUAUAAGCCUUCCUUCAACGAUGCAGUCCCAUACCUGCACAGCCUCAGGAUCCCUCUCAUUCCGAUGUGAAUUCGGUUUUUCCCUAGAAGUUGCUAGGAGUGUCUCAUUGUCAUGCCUCAUGCACCUACAACCACUCCAUCACCCUCGAGUGUAACAUGUAACCACUAUAUGUCCUCUCUGGACUUGGGUGUUACAUGCCCACCAGCUUCCGCUUGGUUCCUUCCCGAACCACAUCGUAUUGGAAAAGGCACGGCUCUGAUACCAUUUGUAACACCCCAAACUACUUUCAAAAUUAUCGACUGACCCCAUAAACCAACACAGAUCUUUUCAGCAUGUUUUAUCCUCACUCAUACGCUUUCUGGGAAACUUCCCAGAAGGUCACCCAUCCAAAUACUACUCCAAGUCAAGCACGCUUAAAUAUGGAGUUCUUAUCUGUUUGGUUACCGAAAAGAAGAUGCAUCUUGUUGGUAUAUGUAGUUCCAAUUAAUCCCUAUAAGUGUUCCUUCAAUGACGUAGUCCCAUACAUGCACAACCUCAAGAUCCCUCUCAUCUUGAUGUGGAUUCGAUUUUUCCCUAGAAGCUGCUAGGAGUGUCUCGUUGUCAUACCUCAUGCACCGACAACCACUCCCUCUCCUUCAGGUAUUAGAUGUAUCCACUCUCCGCCCUCUUAGGCCUCGGGUGUUACAUGUAAAAUAUGAAAGGUGAUAUUUGAACUCACUACCUCUCAUACUCAUAACUCCUUAGCCAUACUCUCCAUCCAUUAGACCAUUGCACCCAUCCUAAGAAAUGUGAGAUUCAAACUCACAACCUCUCAUGCUCAUAAUUUCUUACCCAUACACUACCAUCCAUUAGGCCAUUGCUGCUCUGAUACCAUUUGUAACGCCUCAUACUGCUCUCAGGAUUACCGACUGACCCCACAAACCAACACGGGUAUUUUUAACACGCUUUGUCCUUACUCACACACUUUACGGAAAACUUCCCAGAAGGUCACCCAUCUAAAUACUACUCCAAGUCAAGCACGUUUAACUAUGAAGUUCUUAUCUGUUAGGCUACUGAAAAGAAGAUGCAUCUUGUUUUCGGUAGCCUAACAGAUAAGAACUCCAUAGUUAAGCGUUCUUGACUUGGAGUAGUAUUUGGAUGGGUGACCUUCUGGGAAGUUUCCCAAAAAGCGUGUGAGUGAGGACAAAACAUACUGAAAAGACCCGUGUUGGUUUGUGGGGUCAGUCAAUAAUUAUGAAAGUAAUUUGGAUUAGGCUAGAAGACAUCUUUCCACAUCUUAGGGUGCGGGCUGGUAAUGAUGUAUGAUGUUGUUGACUUCCUCCUCUGGGACGCAACGACGAAAGAUACCAUCAACACCUCUUUUGAAAAGGAGAGGCUCAUCCCAGUAGUAGUGUUUCAGUUCAUGGAAGAAUUUAUUCUUCUGCUGGUAAGUUAGCCUUGAAGGAAGUUCUCCGGCUACUAGGUAGUUGACAAAGUCAGUGUACCACGAUACAGUAGUUUUAGUAAUUAUGGCCUCCACAACCUCUUCAAUUUCUGCAUCUUUAAAAGUUAAAGAGUACUCAGUUGUGUUACUUUCAAUUUGAGCUACAAGUCGAUCAUAUGGAAAAUCAUCGUUGAUUGGUUAUUGCUCGAUUUUCAUAUUCUCGAGUAUAGACAGGUGGUCGGCAACAACGUUUUCAGUUCCCUUCUUGUAUUUGAUCUCCAAGUUGAAUUCUUGCAAGAGAAGAAUCCAUCUUAAGAGCCUUGGUUUGGCAUAUUUUUUAUUCAAUAGAUACCUGAUUGCGGCGUGAUCAGUGUAGAUAAUUAUUUUAGCUCCUACCAAGUAGGAACGAAAUUUAUCUAACGCGAAAACAACAACUAGGAGCUCAUUUUCAGUCGUGGCGUAGUUCAUUUGUGCUUGGUCCAAGGUUCUACUUGCAUCAAAGAUCGCAUGAAGCUUUUUAUCAGUUCUAUGUCCCAAGGCCGCGCCUACAACAUAAUCACUCACGUCACACAUCAUCUCAAAAGGUCUGCUCCAAUCAGGUAGUUGCAUGAUGGGCACAAUUAUUAGGGCGUUUUUCAAUAAUUCGAACGCCUCCAGACAUUUUUCCGUCAAAGACGAAUUUCAUGUCUUUCAUUAAUAAGUUGGUUAAUGGUUUUGUUAUUUUACAAAAAUCUUUAAUAAACCGGCGGUAAAAACCGGCGUGUCCUAAAAAGCUUCAUAUUUCUCUAACAUAUUUCGAGGGUUGGAGGUUUUCUAUAACCUCUAUUUUUGCUUUGUCGACUUCAAUCCCCUUAUUGGACACUAUAUGUCCAAGUAUUAUCCCUUGUUUAACCAUGAAAUGAAAUUUUUCCCAAUUUAUCACGAGAUUAACCUUCACACAUCUAUCAAGUGCCAUUUCUAGGUUUUUUAGACAACCUUCGAAACUCUACCCACAAACGAAAAAAUCAUCCAUAAACACCUCGAUGAUGUUGUCUAUAUAGUCUGCGAAAAUUGACAUCAUGCACCUUUAAAAUGUUGCGGGAGCAUUACAAAGUCCAAAUGACAUUCGUCUGUAGGCAAAUGUACCAAAGGACAUGUGAAAGUUGUCUUUUCUUGGUCAUUAGGAUGGAUGGGAAUUUGAAAGAAUCCUGAGUAACCAUCCAGAUAUCAAAAAUGAGAGUGCUUAGCUAAUCGUUCCAGCAUUUGAUCGAUAAAAGUUAAGGGGAAGUGAUCCUUGUGAGUGACUUUAUUUAAUUUUAGGUAAUCAAUGCACAUCCUCCAUCCAGUUACUACAUGUUUAGCUAAAAUCUCUCCCUUUUUGUUAUCGACAACCGUAACACCACCUUUCUUGGGUACUACAUGUACUGGGCUGACCCAUUUACUGUCAGAUAUGGGAUAUAUAAUAUCUGCCUCUAAUAACUUCAACACUUCUUUUCUUACAACAUUGCUCAUAAUCGGGUUUAGAUGCCUCUGGUGUUCCCUAGAGGUUUUCGAGUCUUCUUCUAGCAUAAUGCGAUGCAUGUAUAGAGAGGGACUAAUUCAUUUUAAGUCUGAGAUGUUGUUGCCUAAGGAAUUAGGGUAUUUCCUUAGGACAUGUAAUAGUUUUUCAGUUUCUAUUUAUCCUAAAUCGGUGUUGACUAUUACUGGUUUCUCAAGCUCAGUGUCCAGGAAUUCGUAUCUCAUAUUUUUCGGUAGUGUUAUAAGUUCUAUAGAUGGUUUCUUCGAGCAUGGCAUAGGAUUUGGAGUUAUUGCUAGACAUUCCCUUAAACUAUCAUCUACGGAUGGUUCUUUGUAUUGGUCAUCCUCAAGAAUGGGUGGUGUUGUGAUUUUUAGGAUUUCAGUAUCCUCGGAUGGUUCCAUUUUUAUUUCUUUCAUACACUCAUCAAUGAUGUCCAUAAAAUAACAUGUGUCGUCUAUGGCUGGUGCUUUUAGAAAUUGCGAUAAAAUGAAUUCAAUCUUCUCCUCUCCCACUUCGAAAAUCAUUUUUCCUCGUUUCACAUCUAUAAUGGCACCGGCAGUUGCUAGGAAGGGUCUACCUAGGAUAAUUGAGAUGUUAGAAUCUUCUAUGAUGUCCAUUAUUAUGAAAUCGGUAAGGAUGAAGAAUUGGCCGACUUGGACGGGAAUGUUCUCUAGCAUUCCUAUAGGAUACUUAACAGAACAAACUGCUAAUUGUAGAGACAUACUCGUUGGUCUUAACUCUCCCAAUUUGAGUCUUUCGCAGAUGGAAAGGGGCAUCAAACUCGCACUAGCUCCUAAAUUGCAGAGGGCUUUAUCUAUUACAAACUUCCCUAUCACACAAGGUAUGGAAAACUGCCAGGAUCUUUUAGUUUAGGUGGCAUGUUAUUCUAAAUGAUAGCACUACACUCUGUGUUAAGCGUCACUGUCUCAUCAUCCUCAAGUUUCUUCUUGUUAGAUAAGAUUUCUUUUAGGAACUUGGCAUAUGAGGGUAUUUGUGUAAUAGCUUCAUGAAAGGGAUGGUAAUAUUAAGUUGUUUCAAGAGUUCGACGAACUUCCUGAAUUGUCCUUCAGUUUUGGAAUUAUCUAGUAUUUAAGGGUAAGGAAUUGGUGGUUUAUAUGGUGGUGGAGGCACGUAUGGUUUCUCCUUCUCAACUGCCUCUUUGGUUUCAUCUUUUGCCUCUGGUUUAUCAGGUUGGCCAUUUUUCUGAGUCAUCGGCGGAAUUUAUGUUUUGGGAUCAACUGGUCCGUCUAACUUCGUCCCGCUCCAUAAUGUGAUAGCAUUAGCUUGACCUUUCGGUUCGGUUGAGGUUGACCAGGGAAAGUUCUAGCUGAAACUGCGGUAGUUUCUUGAUGCUGGGCUACUUGAGAAAUUUGAGUUUCCAACAUUUUCUUAUGAGUAGCCAAAGCAUCUACUUUAGUUGCUAAUUGUUUCACUAAUUCUGAGGUAUGAACGUUCUGGUUCAUAAACUCCUUAUUUUGUUGCGUUUGAGAAGCAACAAAUUUUUCCAUCAUUAACUCAAGAUUAGAUUUUCUAGGCGUUUGAGGAGCGGCUUGAGGUGCGCUCUGAGUUGGCUUAUGGUAACCAGAAGGUGGUUGGUUUAGAGCAUAUAAGGCAUUGUUAUUCUUAUAAGAGAAGUUAGGAUGGUUUUUCCAACCUGGGUUGUAAGUAUUGGAGUACGGGUUUCCUUGAGCAUAGUUUAAUUGGUCAGGUGUAAUGCCUGCUAGUAAUUGGCAUUCGGAAAUGUCGUGUCCAGGUACUCCACAUAUAUUGUAGCUUAGGGCUAUGGCAUCCACGGUGGCCACGGGAUUUAUGGUUAAACUUUCAAUCUUUUGAGUCAGGGCAUCUACCUUAGCAUUGACGUGAUCUAUGCCAUUGACUUCGUACAUACCUCCUUUUGGUUGAGGUUUCUCUAUAGAAGUGCGCUCUCCACCCUAUUGGUAGUGAUUUUGUUCCAUAUUUUGAAUGAGUUGAUCAGCCUCUUCAUAUGGUUUGUCCCUUAUAGUGACGCCAACUACAACGUCUAAGAUUAAUUUGGUGUUAUAUGAGAGACCACCAUAGAAGGUUUAGAUGAUAAGCCAUGGUUCAAGCCCAUGGUGCGGGCAAAUCCUCAGCAUGUCCUUAUAUCUCUCCCACGCUUCAAAAAGUGAUUUGUUGUCCUUUUGCCUAAAUCCUUUGAUUUGGCUUCUUAGCAUAGCCAUUUUACUAGGUGGGAAAUAUCUGGCUAAGAAACCUUCUUUAAUUCUUCCCAUGUAGUUAUGGAAUUGGAAGGUAAAGACUGAAGCCACACUCUAGCUCUGUCUCUUAAAGAAAAGGGGAAAAGACGUAAUCGUAUUGCUUCAGGAUUAACACCUUAGCUUUUACCGUAUCUGCAUAUUGUAUGAAUACUGACAGAUGGAGAUUCGAAUCGUCUGUAGGAUUGUUAGAGAAUUAGUUUUGUUGUACAGCUUGUAACAGUGAAGGUUUCAACUCGAAAUCGUUUCGGUCGAUGGCAGGGGAAGCAAUGUUGUUGUGUGGUUCAUCCUGAAAUGGGGCAGCAUAGUCCCUUAAAGGAUGGUUAGCAGGGGCGGCCAUAUCUGGUUCGAGUAUAUCAGGAUCAAGAAGGUUGUAUUUUAAACGGAAUUGUUUAAGUCAGUGUCUUAGACUAAUAUAACGCUCGAUUUCGUCUAUCGGUUGUUCUAACUCGUCUUCUUGUGAGCGAGUGUUUAACAUGCAACCAAAACAAAUAAAAAGGAAAAUAGUUUCCUUAGUCUAUAUCGUGCAACAGUGGAGUUACGAUAUUGACUUAAUUAGUCCCCGGAAACGGCGCCAAAAACUUGAUCGUGACUUAGUAUGUCUAUCGAAAUGGCUAACUGCAAGUGCACAGUCAUAUUGUGUAGUUUUAAAAAGAUGUUGAACCCAAAGGACCAAAAUUCAAACUAUCGUUAUCUAAAGUUACUAUGUAAAGCUAAAGCUAAUGAUUGUUUUCUUUUUUUUAGAUUGAUUAAGAGAAACGGAGAAAUAAAAUUUAACUAGAAAUAAUAAUAUAAUUAAAGUAUUCAAUAAAGAGGCAUCAGUAUGUAAAUCACAUCAUUCUUCGAGGAUUCGGAAAACAAUUAAUAUUAAAAUAAGGUAAAUCACUUUUCAGUAGAAAAUAUCAAAUUAAAAGACUUUGCCUCACACUCUUGUGUUAUUGGCUCGGGCUAUACUCAUAAGCCAAAAUGUUUUGCUCUCGCUCACCCACCUAAAUUAAAAGUAAUUUUUGGAAAUUGAUAAAUCAUAAUUAAUCCUAAAGCGAUCUCGUUGUGUUUAUGAUUAAUGCCUAGAAGCCACUAUCUGGUUAAAAUCUCAAACUCUCGUUCUGUUGAUUUAUAACCUUAUUGACUUUUCACUCUCGUGCAAAAACCUCUUUAAAUUAGAAUUGGAAACCAGAGCUAGAAAAAUAACUCAUAAAAAUUAUCAUUCAUUAUUACCGAAUCUCGUCAGAACGACAGUCCUUACAUACCGAUAUCGAAUGUUUUAGCCGGACAUGGUUUUAAACUUAAUCAUCCACAUACAAUCCUUAAACAUAAACAUAAUAAAAAUUCAGAAUUGCAAAUUAAAGCGGAAAGUAAAGAGUUCAGCAAUUAAAAGAAACCUGAUGAAUAAUAAUAAUUGGAUUAAACUUCGGAGGAUUCUUCGAGUACAAAUAACAAUUGGAAAACUACAACUAUGUCGGCACGCUUGAUCCAAGCAACUUGUAAAUGUAAAAGCAAAGGUGCAAUAGCUUCCCGAUGUGGAAGAACUAUCACUUUUAGAGUGUUUCUACUUAAAACUAAGAAUCAAAUUACACGAUGAAAACUUGGAUGCAUUUUUAUUCUAAUUUAGCCUUUUUUAUAUUGGUGAAGUAGGGCUGAACUUCCCUAAAUUCGUGUGGAAGUGGUGGAGAGGAAAUAGGGAGGGUUCUUGACCAUGUUUUAUGCAGUUCCUGAAAAACAGCACUGCGUGUCUGUGGCGAACGCCACAAGGCCAUGGCGAACACCAUGGUACUUAAACUCUGAAGUGAUGUGGCAAGGGGCGUGGCGAACGGAUCAGUCUCCAAUUCUACUUGUUUUCUGACACUCACUCUACACCUUUUCACGAAGUCGGUAACACAUUAGUCUACCUGUUUUAUCGUUCUGUUUAGUAAAUUAGAUGUUUUGCAUUGUUAUUUCAAGUUGUUGAUUAUAUUUGGUUUGCAUCAUUAUACUCCAUUUUUACCUUUUCACGAAGUCGGUAACACAUUAGUCUACCUGUUUUAUCGUUCUGUUUAGUAAAUUAGAUGUUUUGCAUUGUUAUUUCAAGUUGUUGAUUAUAUUUGGUUUGCAUCAUUAUACUCCAUUUUACAUCUCUUUGUGGUAGUUUUACUAGUUUCAGGUGUAAGCAAGAACACCAGAGGGAUAUCCAAGCGAAUUGGACAUUUCGGGCCCAUCGGAAGAGGAAAUUAGAUAACACAGUAGUCCUGACACGGCCACCCAUGUUUCCCAACACAGCCCGUGUCAGGAGGUGAAAGCCAUAAGAAGAAAACAGGGAGCUGGCACGGGUGCCCGCGUCAGCCUCCCUAGAGGGGCAUGUCAAGGCCAAUAUACCAGACAACCAACACGGUCUGACAUGGCUAGUGUUGGCUUGGACACCUCAUUUUCUAGUUUUUGCUAUAUUUUGGCACGGCUGAUCCCGAGAGGCAUUAUGGACUUUUGCUACAUCAAAUUAGUGAUCAGGAACUAUUUAGGGGAUUUUUUGAAUAUGGAGAAGGGGACUUUUGACGAUUACUGAUUGGAGACGAUAAAGAUUGAAGCGGUCAAAAACGACGAAGAACGAAGAUUCUUCAAGAGCGGAUGCAAUUGAAGAUCAAUGAAAUUCCCAUACUUUUGUAAUGUCUCGUUUUUAUGUAUCUUAUUUGAAUAAUAUGAGAGGUUAAACCCCCCCAAUGCCCGAGGGGGGGGGGGUGGGUUCCUUGAACUGAUCGUGUAAUGACUCGAAAGUUAUAAUUUCCUUAAUAUAUGAUGUUUGUUGUUAAUUUCACUAUGCAAUUUUGGGGGGGUGGGUUCCUUGAACUGAUCGUGUAAUGACUCGAAAGUUAUAAUUUCCUUAAUAUAUGAUGUUUGUUGUUAAUUUCACUAUGCAAUUUGCAUAAUGUUUUCUUUAUCAGAAAAAUCAAGAUUGUUGUAUGGUUAACAAUUAGCAGGAUUGCAAUUGUUAAGGUUUUUAUACAGUGAAGCCAUAGUAGAUAUCACCUAGGACUAGGGAUACCCUAUGGAUACCGGUUUAUUCUUGUUAAAUUGGAAUUACUUGGUUUCAUAAUAAUCGCCUAAUGACUUAGAGAUUAGAUUGAAUGACCAAAGGUUUCCCUCUGAGGUCUUAGGGGGAAACACUCUUAAGAUCCGGUAAUUGGAACAAUUUUCAUUAUUAAGGAGAUAUACACUCAAGGGUCAUUACAGGAGAUUUUUAUACACCAUCCUUGGCAUAUUAUUAUAAACUGUGAAAAGAUUUAUCCUAUUUUACUUUCUCUUACAGUGAAUUUUUUACAAAACCCCAACUAUUAGUUUUGUUCAAUUGAGUAACAAUUUACACGUAUAUUGUUGCGCAAUCCUCGAGGUCGAUCUUUGGGAAACAUCUAUAUUAUUACUACAUCGGCAAAAUAGUACACUUGCUAUUUUCCUGAUCAAGUUUUUGGCGCCGCUGCCGGGGAUUGCCAAAUAUAAGUUUAAAUUAUCUCAAUUGAAAUUUUGUUGCUCUGCAAAUAAAAUUUAUUUUUCGUUAUUUUAAUAAUUUAUUUCGAUUAUAUCAACUAAUCUCUGUCUGAUAUUUGUAUGCGAGGUAAGCCCUCAGCUGAUUUUCCUUUUGACGCAGAAAUCGAGAGAACCUUUCGGGCAAGACUCAGACAAGCUCGAUUGGUUAGAUUAGAAUCAGACGAAGAACAACUUUCCAUUCAUUCAGGUUCUGAGAGAGAGAUCGAAACUAUGGCUGAUGUUCCACCGCCACCAGAAAGACUGUUGGGUGACUACGGAGGUGAAAAUGCACCAAUCGGCAGAUUAACUAUUGGAAACUAACCAGUGAAUGUGGCUAAUUUCUAGUUGCAUCCGAGUACUAUUAAUCAACUUGAAAGGAAGCAUUUUACUGGAAAAGUAAAUGAAGAUACAAACAAGCAUUUGUAGAGGUUUCUGACCAUGAGCAACACUCUAAAAAUUGAUGGUCACACCGAAGAAGCUAAGAAAUUGAGAAUGUUUCCGUUCACCUUAGCGAAAGAAGCCGAAGAAUGGUUUUAUUCUCUAUCUGCCGGUAGCAUCACAUUUUGGGAAGAAAUGGAAAAAGCCUUCCUGAAUGAGUAUUUUCCAGCGUCGGUAUUUCUGCGGAAGAGGUAUGAAUUUCUGAAUUUUAAGCAGAAGGACGGGGAAACUUUGGGAGACGCAUACAAGAGAUUUAAGAGAGUCCUGGUCGCCUGCCCAACUCAUAAUAUGGAUCCAACUGAAUAGAUGCAGAUGUUUUUGAAUGGUCUCAAAAUAAAUACCAAACAGCUGAUUGAUACCGCAACCGGUGGCUCCACUAAUAUUUUAACAACCACCAGUAUCAAGAAGAUCAUUGAAGUUAUUGUUGCUAAUGAGCACUUGGAGUUGUACGAUAGAUGUCAAAGCAAACUAGAAGGGGUUAUAGAUUUAAAGCUGGAAAAUAAUAAAAUUUGUAUUGAAGAUACUCUAGCUGCUGAAGUUGAGAAGAAUCUGAAGGCGAUGAAUAUGGGUACCCAACAGGUGGCACAGGUCCAACCGGCUCCUACCGUCUGUUGUAAAAUUUGUAACGGCCCGCACCAAACUGUAUAUUGUUUUGUAACUCCUAAACAAGUGGAGGAAAUCAAAUUUUUGAAGCAGAAUAAUCCUUAUUCCAACACGUACAAUCCGGGUUGGAAGAAUCAUCCCAACUUCUCAUGGAAAGACCAAAAAGGAACCGCUCCUCAACAUGGUCAGUACAAAAAUUAAUAUCAACAACAGCAGCAACAACAAGCCCCUAAGAAAGCUGAUUGGGAAAUUGCAAUUGAAAGAAUGACAACUCAUAAUGUUCAAUUUCAAGAAGAAACCCGGAACAAUCAGAAAAACACCACAACAUCCAUAAAGAAUCUUGAAGUCCAAAUGGGUCAAACCGCUCAACAAUUAGCUUCGAGUUCUCAAGCACAAGAUGCUCUACCUAGUGCAACUGUGACAAAUCCUAGAGAGCAUAAUAAUGUGAGCGUUGUGAUAACAAGAAGUGGUAAAUCUGAUGAAGUAGUCGAGGAGGUGGAUGAAGAGGAAGAUCAAUUGAUCGAAGUGGAUCUUGAGAUCAAAGAAAAUGAAGUUGUGAGGGAAGAAGUGGUAGCAUCGAAACCAGUUAUGAAAGAAACAGUCAUUGAGCCUAAGCCGGUUGUUAAGCUCCCUUUUCCCAAUAGAAACAAGAAAAAGGGACAACAUGAGAAAAACUUUGAAAAAUUCUUAGAGUUGUUCAAAAAGUUGGAGAUAAACAUUCCCCUAUUGGAGGCACUUGAACAAAUGCCUACUUAUGCAAAGUUCAUGAAGGACAUCAUUUCGAAGAGGCAUACCGCCGACACCAACUUGAUUAUUCUAACUGAAACUUGUAGUGCUAUUUUCCAGGGUAUGAAGAUUCCGAUAAAGAAGAAAAAUCGAGGAGUUGUCACCAUCCAUUGUACUAUUGGAGAUAGGUCAUUCAACAAAGCUCUUAUUGAUUUUGGAGCUAGUGUGAGUCUCAUGCCAUUAUCCAUUUACAAGAAGCUUGGUAUAGGGGUUGUGCAAGAUACCAGGAUGACACUCCAAUUCCCCGAUCAUUCGGUAAAGAAACUGUAUGGUAUUGUUGAAGAUGUUCGGGUGAAAAUUGACAAGUUUGUAUUUCCGGUGGAUUUUGUAAUUCUUGAAAUGCCGGAAGAUGAAGAGAUCCCUCUCAUUUUUGGGAGACCCUUUUUAGAAACGGAAAGGUGCUUGAUCAACAUAGAAGAAGGGACCAUGACAUUGAAGGUUUAUGAUGAGGAAUUGAAAAUCGAUGUUCGAAACACCAUGAGGUACAAGGAUGAUAUUUGUACUAGUCAUACUAUAGAGGUUCUGGAUCAGGUGAUGACAUAUGAUAGUCCUUUGUAUGCACCACAGUCACCUUUGGAAAAAGUGUUGAGUUUGUCUAUUUUCGAUAGUGAUAAAGAAGUGGACAACGGGGAAUCUGAAGUGCUAGCCUUGUUAGACGCACAACCUCCGUGGAAAGGAUCUCGACCACACCAGUGGGAGGAUUUACGCCUACCUCAAUCUAGUGAGGAGGAUGAAGAGACAAAGAAGGGAACGGAGUUGAAACAACUUCCUGAGAAUCUUAAAUAUGUCUUUCUCGAUUCUGAAGGAAAAUGUCCUGCUAUCAUAAACUCGAGCCUAAAGAAUAUUCAAGAAGAAAGGCUCAUCCAAGUCCUAAAAAAAUACAAAAAUUAUGUUGGAUGGGCAAUUGAAGAUUUUAAAGGUAUUAGCCCUACUGUGUGCAUCCAUAAAAUUAUCAUGGAAGAAGACCACAAACCGGUAGUCCAACCGCAGAGAAGACUUAAUCCGGCAAUGAAGGAGGUAGUUCGGAAAGAGGUGGUGAAAUUGUUAGAUGCAUGCCUUAUAUAUCCUAUUUCUGACAGUCCCUGGGUGAGCCCAAUGCAUGUUGUCCCUAAGAAAUGGGGGACCACAGUAAUAAGGAAUGAAAAAAAUGAGUUAAUUCCUACUCGAACAAUCACCGGGUGGCGUGUUUGCGUUGACUACAAAAGGUUGAACAUAGAAACUAGAAAGGACGACUUCCCAUUGCCAUUUAUUGACCAGAUGUUGGAAAGGUUAGCCGGACACGAUUACUAUUGUUUUCUAGAUGGAUACUCCGGGUAUAAUCAGAUUGCAGUCGCUCCAGAAGACCAAGAAAAGACAUCAUUCACAUGCCCGUAUGGUGUAUUUGCAUACCGAAGAAUGUCAUUCGGGUUGUGUAAUGCUUCAACAACCUUCCAAUGAUGCAUGAAUUCCAUUUUCUCCGACAUGCUCGAAAAGCAUAUGGAAGUCUUCAUGGAUGACUUCUCGGUCUUUGGAUCCUCAUUUGAUAACUGUUUAACUAAUCUCUCUCUUGUUUUAGACAGGUGCCAAAAAACAAAUUUAAUUAUGAACUGGGAGAAAUGUCACUUCAUGGUGCGAGAAGGGAUAUUAUUGGGUCACAAAAUUUCCUACAAGGGAAUUGAAGUUGACCAAGCAAAAGAGGAAGUGAUAUUGUAGCGGUAAAUUCAUGAUCAUCAAGCUAUGGAUAAGCAAGACAUCAAAUAACAAGAGUCACCACCGCACUUUUAUUGUUUCCAAGGGAAAAGGGAAAAGUACGAACAAAACCCAAAAAUAAGAAGUUUUCAAAUCAAAACUAAUAAAAUACCAGAGAUUACAGGUAAGGGGGUUGGUUACACAGAGGGAAGGUGUUAGUACCCAAAGUGUCCUAGGUACUCCUAGGGAGCCCUUUCUUGUGUGCAUAUGUACUUUGUACAAAAUGAUGUUUACAAACAAAUAGAAUGGGGGGAUGAGAAAAGAAUUCAUUAAUCAUAUUUUUGUGUUUGACAAGACCUUCGGACUUGUGCCUACGUACCAACAUAAAAAUGAGGGAUCAAAACCUCAUAGUUCGUGAUAUCAAUUUCAAAGUGAGCGAAUUGCUUUUAACAAAAAUUUAAGUUUAAAAGGCACAAGGGCCUAGAAAAUGGUUUGAAUGAGUUAGUUCUUUUUGGAUUUUGAAAAUUUUAAGUCAAGUAUAGUUAAGUUUAUUUACAAGUUUGAUUUAAGAAAAUAAGUUUUUAAAAAAUGCAAUGGCAUAAGGCCAAAGUUUGUAAUUUGCAAAGGGUCUAUGUUUUAAAAAAAAGACAAGUACAAACAAAGAAGUGUUUUUCAAAGGAGGGAGAGAUUUUGAAAUUAAAGAGACGGGGAGGAGAUGAAGAGACUAAUCCUAAGCAUAAAUUUAAAAGUUAAGAGUUGAAAAGAUCUAACCAAUGGGCUGCAAUCCAAUAGACAAGAAUGUCAUAUAGAAACCCCAAAUUCCCUUGGACAUUAGAAUCAAGCAACAAACAAUGAAUACCAUAUUAACUUGAAGAGCAAAGCAUCAAAUGAAGAUAGCCACAUCCAGACUUUAGCCACUCCAUGAUCUUAUUCAAAUUUGCCCAUGUAACAGAUGAAUUCCAUAAGUCAUAGGUUCAAAGUAACAACUUCACAAUGAUCAUGUUGCAGAUGAACUCAAAGGGAUCUUCAAUGAUGUAUCAGAUGAAGUUUCAAAUUACAAGCACUUGGUUACAUGAAAGUUGGCAUUGGCCAAGUCCUUUGCAUAGGGAGUCUUGCCUAAAUUCUAAGUCCAAUUGUCUCAGAUCAAACCAACAGUCCACACAAGAAUUUUUUAGGGUUUUUGUUCUUAUUAUGUACAUUAAUGGUCAAAGACCACACAAGCAAACACAAUAUACACAAGCAAAAUAUAUCACAAAAUAUGGUCCAAAUGGACAAAGUGAAAAUGACAUUAACAUAAACAAUUAGGAUGGUAUGAAUAAUGGCAAAUGAACAAAGCUUAAAAAUAAAGUGCAUUAAAAGUAAAGGACUUGAAAUUAAAUGUUAGUUGUUAAUGAGUUAGAAGUUAGUAUUGCUUUUUCUUUUUUUGUUUAAGUCAUUCUUUGGAGAAUACUCAACCCGCUUAUCACAAGCAUGGAUCCUUCAACCAAGACGACUUCCAAAGGAAGGAAAAAAGGCCAAGUUUCCACAUAAUACCAUGAAAGAGGGGAGACUUACAAUCUCACUAACUAGAAUAUUAUGCCUUUUUGUAUCAAAAAUUUAGUGCUAUGUUAAGCAAUCGUAAUUGGACUUAUGUAGAAGUCACAACUAUUUGAGGUCGGAUAAUAGAAUUUUGGUGUUAAUGCAUGUUAGAGACAUAUUAUAAUGGACUAUGCUCAUGAAACAUACCACACACAAAAAGAAUAUGCAAAAGAGGUGGCCUAAUCUCAUCCAUACUUAUGUUGAUUUUUAAUCAACCAGCCUUAGGACCUUGAGAUAUCAUAGGACCAUGGUAUGAAUGCAUAAAGAAGGGGAAUAAGAUGAAGAGGGAGGGUAAUGGAUCAAAACUCAAAUUGGACAAAGGAGGAUUUUUACCAAAUUAAGAUCAUUCAUUCAUUUUGGGAGAUGGAAUGUACAUUCCAUCAAUCCCCUAAAUCCAAUGAUCUUAACCUAGCAAAGUCAAAUAAACCUUGACCUAGGCUCAACAACACAAGUCAAACUUAUACAAAUAAUCAAAAUGGCUUAACACAAUUAUUUGGCAUUUAUUCAAUUUAAAAAUUCUAAAAAUAAUGCAUUAAAUAAAAUAUGGUUUGUCAAAUUCCUAAAACCUCAUCAAAACACCAAGGAAAUGGCCAUGAGAUUUAUCAUAGGUCAAACAAAGUCAAAGGACCUUGGAGAAAAAAUUCAGAAUUUUUGGAGACUUAAAAGUAUUUUUCAACAAUUAAAAAUAUUCACAAAAUCAACUAAAUCAUGAAAAAUAUUAAUAAUGAUCCAAAAAAUAAUUUUAAUUCAAAAUAUGAAAGAGGAUUUUAUUUAAUUUUUUUUUGGUGAAACUCUCAUAUUUUUUGGAUCAAUAUUAAAACUAAUAUGAAUUAAUGAAAAUAAAACAAAUUAAAUGAAAUUCAAAUAAUCAGAAAAAAACGUGGACCACUUGAUCUCCCUUACCAAUUGAGGUGGGAGAUCAAGUGGUCUAAAACGCGCAUUCCACCAAACACACGAGUCAACGCGCCACACCAAUGGUAUUCAAAAGCAACGCUCAAGAUUAAAACGAUUUGAACUGAUCAUGUGGCUCAGAACCUAUCCAGCACACCACCGAUGCUGAAACUCCGGUCACCUUCUCAGGCGAGGCUCACCGGACUGGUUCAGUCAUCACCAUCACAUAAAUGAAAAAGGAGGACAUGAUCUGAAAGAAAAAAAGGCGUAGAGCACGAAUCUGACCUCAAUUUUAACUAACUCCACAUAUAUAGAAAGAUAUGAGGAAUUGAAUUUUGAGGUGUGUCAACUGAGUUGCUUCGAUUUGACCUCAAAGUAACUCAAUCUUCUUGCCUACAUUGGUAGGACUUCAGACUACCAAAGAUCCAAGAGAAUUGAUGAGAAUUGAGUGAGAAUCGAAGAGAAGAAAAUUUCUGAAAAAUACCUUCAAUGAUGUGCAGAACUGGAUCUUGCUUGCUUCAAACUUUGCUUGAUCACCUUCAGGAAGCUUGUAGAAGUGGCUUGGCAAUGGAACAAAGCUUUGGAUCCUGGAGUUUUUGAAUCUCCAAACAGUGAGAUUCUUGCUUGCUUCAAACUUUGCUUGAUCACCUUCAGGAAGCUUGUAGAAGUGGCUUGGCAAUGGAACAAAGCUUUGGAUCCUGGAGUUUUUGAAUCUCCAAACAGUGAGAUUCAAACUCAAUUUUUAGAUCGAAAAUUCUCAAGUUUUCCUUUGAAUUGUGAGGGUUUGAAAAGAGGGGGCAAAGCUGGCGCGCAAGGGAUCCUUCAAAUGAGCUCAGAGGCGUUGUAUUUAUAGCAUGAAGGAGUGAUAUUUGCACACUUCAAGUUUCCAAUUUUGGAAAUUGCAUGAUGCAAGCUUGCAUAGGCGUGUACAGGCCUAUGAAGCAAUCCAUUUAGGUUCAAAUUCAACUGUUUUGAAGUCUCAAAGAAGCUUGAAUAGCAAGACAAUGUGAAAUGGUGUUUUGGACAUUUGAUCUUUCCACUUGAUGCAGACCUGUUAAGAUCAUGUGCAGCCCUAGCAACCUCAUCCAAAAUGCAUGAAAUAGGACUAUUUGGAAAACUUAGAUCAAGGGGAACAACUUUGAUGUUGGACACUUUUCCAUUUGGAACUUGGAUCAAGGUGAAUUUUGAGGUGGAAGUUUGGAAAUUUCAACAUGUUGAAAUUUUUUUGAAGUGUCAAGUCAUAUACCUCAAUGUUCCAUCUUACUUAACUUUUCAUGUGAGCUCCAAAUUAAAAGCAUGUCUUCAUCAAAGUUUCAGGUCUUUCAAAGACCUUAAAAAUGGUCACCAAUUUCAUGUCAUUUGGAAAAUCACUUGUUCAAUGGUAUAGGGAAAAAAUGACCUAUAAUGUAUCCUCAUAUCAUAUGCUCAUAAAAGUUGAAUUAGCUCUCACUCCAAACAUAAAAGUUGAAUUAGCUCUCACUCCAAACAUAAAGUUGAAUUAGACAUCUUGAAUUUGAUUGUGCAACUUGGAAAUCUUUCAUAUCAUAAAAAUUGAGCAAGUUAUUACCUUGGGAAGUUGACUUUCAAAUUCGGGUUUAGACAAAAUGACUUAUAAUCUUUCUACAUAGAAAAUGAUUUUACAAGCAAAACUAGAUCUAGGUCUCAACAUGAAAGUUGUUUGUAAUGUCAUUCAGAGUAACUUUGCGCUUGGAAGAAUUUUCAUAUGGUGAAAAUUAUAGGAGAUAAUGUCAUUUAGAGUAACUUUGCUCUUUGCGUUUGUAAUGGUCUUACUCUAUAUCUGAAAAAUCCAUCCAUAAACGAAAAAACUUUGAAUUUAGCAGUAUUGUCUACCAACAUAUCAAUGUGUGGCAGAGGGAAAUCAUCUUUCGGGCUGACUUUAUUCAAACCUCUAUAAUCAACAAACAUGCGGACUUUUCCAUCUUUCUUUGGCACAUGCACAAUGUUGGCCACCCAUUGCGGAUACUCAGUGUUCACAAGGAAACCGACAUCAAUCUGCUUUUGCACUUCUUCUUUGACCUUCACUGCUAUGUCAGGAUGCAUUCUUCUCAACUUCUGCUCGACUGGCGGACAUUCUGGCUUCAACGACAAUCUAUGCUCCACAAUCUCAGAAUCCAAACCAGGCAUGUCUUGAUAGGACCAAGCAAACACAUCCGAGUACUCUCGAAGAAGAUCAACCAACCCCUUCUUCGCAUCUGGACACAGUCGAGACCCAAUAUUGACUUCCUUCACAUCAUCCUCGGAACCCAAGUUGACUAACUCAAUCUGCUCUUCGAAUGGCCGAAUGGCUUUUCCUUCAUGCUCAAGAAGACGAGACAAUUCAUCACUCACUUCUUCAUCACUUUCCUCCUCGGCCUCAAACACAGGGAAUUCAAAAUUUGGAGAAGGAGAAGGAUCAUUGUACUCAAUGAGGUUAGGAACCAACCUGCAUAAUGAUUUGAUAUUUUGAUUUUAGAGAAGUGAAUUUGUGACCAAACAUUAUGCAGAUGGACAAUUAUAUUGUUUAUUUAUGUUUUUUGUUAUUACCAUUUUCAGAAUAAAGCAAAAAGUAAAAAUAAAACAUCAUAGAUGUGAUUGAAUAGAAUUGAUUUUAUUGAUGAUCAAAUUUGAAAUGCCUAACAAUGUUCACUUACCCCUUAGACAUAGGAGAAGGAUUUUUAAAACAAAUAAAAACAAUUACUUAGAUCGAUGCAAACUAACAGGAAUAUCAACAACAAUCCAAUUGUUGCAAGCCUUUCCAUGCGUCACAAAAUUGGUGCAGUCAUCUUCAUCGUCAUCCUCUAGCACUGCAGCUAAGUGUUGUUCAUUUCCAUGAAUGAACCCUCCGCUACGGAAGCUAAGUUGCAUAUCCUCUGAUCUAGCAGUUGAUGGACCUUGUAGAAAACCCAUACCGAUUCUGCUCUUGUUGUCGGAGACCUCUACCAUGCGCCCCCCACUGAUCCACAUUACCUUCUUCAACAAUCUUCCUUGCAUCUUUCAAUGAGGACAUAGGUGCCCGAACUCUCUUUUCAACAGCAAUAGAUAAGGCUUGGAACAGAGUUCCAACCUCAUCCUCAGCUUCAACGUAAGAGAAAGAUGACAAGUGGCUAACCAACAACGCCUUUUCCACGCCAACAAUAAUAAGCUUCCCAUUUUUGACAAAUUUGAGUUUCUGAUCCAACGUGGAAGUAACAACUCCUGCCUCAUGAAUCCAUGGCCUUCCCAAUAGACAACUGUAGGUCGGGUGGAUAUCCAUUACUUGAAAAGUAAUCUGGAAGUCACUCGGGCCUAUCUUCACCGAAAGGUCCACUUCACCUAUCAUUGUCUUGCGUGAACCGUUAAAAGCUUUGACGGUUACACCACUAUACCUCAUAGGAGCUCCUUGAUAUGACAGCUUUGAAAGAGUUAACUUUGGCAGCACAUUCAAUGAAGACUUGGUGUCAACUAAUACAUUGGAUAAAGCGUCAUCUUUGCAAUUCAUGGAGAUAUGCAAAGCCAAGUUAUGAUUACUACCCUCCUCAGGGAGUUCUUCAUCAUAGAAGUUGAGAUUUUUGCAGGAAGUGAUGUUAGCUACAAUAUGAUCAAACUGAUCCACCGUAACAUCAUGUUCCAUGAAAGCUUGCUUUAGAACUCUUUGUAGUACUUCUCUGUGCGCUUCUGAAUUCAUAAGCAGAGACAAUACUGAAAUCUUUGAGGGGGUUUGGAGCAACUGCUCCAUCAUGUUGAACUCACUUUUCUUUAUCAGCCUAAGUACCUCAUCAUCAUCAUUAGUUUUCAAAUUGAUGGAUUCACCAGACUGACGCUUUAAAGUGCUAAUCAGAUCUACUUUAGGUACUUCCACCUUCUUACCAAUUGUUGAAUCUUCUACAUCUUUUGGGAACACCGACCCAAACACUCGACCGCUACGGGUCACCUUAGUAACAUCAACAAUACUCACGACAAAACUGGUUGUAGGUAACGGUACCUCUUGACCAUCCUUCAACAUAGUUGCAUUAUACUGAUACGGAACAGCCUUAUCGGAUGAAUACGGGACUGGGCCCAUUAACCGUAUGACCAACGGCGAUACCGAUCUUUGACUGAUAUUAUUACUGUUACUGCUGUCAUACUGAAUCACCAUUCUCUCGGGAUUCUUAAACACUGGAACGAUCACAUUCACAUCAUCAUCUUCAUGACGGGAUUGAACAAUCUGAACCAUACCCUCAUCCAUCAACCGCUGGAUGUCUCUUUUCACAAUCAUACAACCCCUCGGGUUGAAACUGCAGAUAGCACAACCAUCAUGGUCACGCUCACAAUCGCUUACCAUAGAAAUGUGCUUAUAUAUUGUUACUAAAGAUCUUCUAAUGAAAUGGACAUCAAACAUUUUGAACUCCCCAGAACAGUCGUCUACCAUAUUGAAGCAAGCAGAAAUAUACCCGAACGUAUUGCACCCUCGAACAUACAACAGAGUCGCCAUCGAACUUUAUUUAUCCCCAAAGGGAAGGGAAACAUCGAAAAAACCCGGGGGAAAGAGAUAUACUGGGUAAGGAAGUCGGUUAUGCAAGGAGAAGGUAUUAGCACCCCAAACAUCCAUGGUACUCCAUGGGAACCUUUUUGAUUGUUCUUGCUCAAAUAGGUGUGAUAUCUAAAGAUUACUCGCAAAAGAAUAAGGGGAAAGGAAAGGAAAUAGAUAGAGUGCUCGGUGAGGAUUAGGGACCUCAUGCCUACGUAUCCUCAUAAUGCAAUAAGGAAUUCAGAGCUUCGUAGUUCAAGGAACUAGAGGAAGGAGGUGAAAAGGAGUGUGAUCAAGGUAUGGUUUGAGCCAAAGGAUAAUUUUGUUUGAACUCCAAGAGAGGGUGAAAACGUGAACCCAAGAGUAAACAAGUUGUUUGAACCAACAAGUGAGGGUGUAGAGCACUUAUAUCACUAUAUUGGAACAACCGAAAAGAGAGGAAUUAGGUGUUUGGGGUGAGAGCCAAACAACUCUUGGUUCACAAGGAGGUACAAGAUGGAGCACAAAAGUAUAUUGUAUUUGGCUCAAAGAAUAGGUAUAUCACGUGGAGUGAAAGAAGGUAGUAUAUGAAUGUAUCAUGGGAUGAACGAAAUGAAGUGACCGAAGUCAUAGAAUAGAGUAUCUGGUAACAAGUGAUGAAGAAAUAUUGUUUGAAAUCAAAAGGUGAAAAUGUAUUGGAAUCCAUAAGAGAAGUGAGAUUUCUACCAUAGAUGGAAACAUCAUUAACCGAUACGUGGACUAGCAGGCCGCCACUGUAAGGUUUUGGCCAAAAAGAAGGAAUUAAAUGUUUGGGAUGGGAGCCAAACAACUCUAGGUAUGAAAUUAAGACUAUUCAUUAGGCGUCCUAAAAGGGUAUGUGUGGAAUUCCAAGGAAAGUGUAUUUCGAUGUCAAAGAGACAGUAUGUCACUGGGCGAACGGUUCAUGAUCGAAGGUAGAUAAUGAAUAGUGAAAGAUAUGAGUGGUGCCCUAAGGCGGAAGAGGAAUAAUUAGAAGUAUUCUCGCAGAGGAUUCGCAUCCUCGUGCCUACGUAUUCUUAUUGUGAAAUGAGAAAAUCAGAGCAAUCGUAGUUCGAAACUACGAGAAUAGAGAGAAAGAGAUGUUUGUCUAAGCAACAGGGACUCACAAGAAAAACACACAAGGGAGGAUUGCAGUACUAGAAUGCAUGGAGUAGUGUAUCACUUGCUGGGGGAAUCGACAAUUCAAGAUUAAAUCAGUAUAGUAUCUUGGAUCCAUGAGACGUAUAGACUCUUAAUCGAAGAGCAAAGUGGCGUGUUAGCCAAAGAAGAAUGAAUUGAAUGUUUGGGAUGAGAGCCAAACAAGAAAGAAUUGAAUGUUUGGGAUGAGAGCCAAACAAGAAAGAAUUGAAUGUUUGGGAUAAGAGCCAAACAAGAAUGAAUUUAGCAUUUGGGAUAAGAGCUAAACAACUUUCGAUUGAAGAGAUGGAUUGUCAUCAGGAUGUCCUAAAAGGAUGGACAAGGAGUCCAAGGAGAAGUAUGAUUGAUCUCGAAAGAUGGUAUUGGUUGUGUGAAUGGAGAGUGAUCCAUGGGAUAAAGAAGGUAUAUUGAUAAAUAAGAUAGCCCGCGAAGAAACCGGGUUCUCCUGCCUACGUACCCUUAUAGUGCAAUAAGGAUAUCAGAGCUUUCGUAGUUCAGCCCAUUAGGGCUGAAAAGAAAUUGAUUGGAAGCAAGAGGAAAUGGAUGAUUGAGAUUGAAAUGAUUUGAAUGAAAUGAUGAAAAUCGAAUGGAAUGAAGAAUGGAUAGACUUGAUAGUUACUGGAUGAUGAGAAUCACACUAACUUUCAAGUGGAGCGAAAAGAGUCUUUGUAGUUGUUUCUUGAAUGGAAGAUGAAGACCUUAUCAAUGGUUCGAUUCAAAUCGUAAUAAAGUCUAUGAAUGGAGGUGAAUACGAUGAGCGCUGGGUCAUACGUCCCAUACCCAAAGAUACUCAGAAUGGGGGUAGGAAUACUCCAGUCUCACUCCUUCUCCAUUACUUAAGGCUCAUAUCGUACAACUUGAUUCAUGAUUGAUAAGUUGUUGAAGUGGUCCUUGCUUUUUGUGGUUUUUGCUUUGUGAAGAUAGACUUGUCAAUUGUAUGAUUAGAAUUGUCCUAAAGUCUAUGAAUAGAGGUGAAUACGAUGAGUGUUGGAUCAUACGUCCCAUACCCAAAGAUACUCAAAAUGGGGGUAGGAAUACUCCAGUCCCACUCCUUCUCUAUUGCUUAAGGCUCGUGUCACACUCUUCUAAGUUUGAGUUAACAAGUGUUGAAGACGCCGCCUUUGAUGUGCUUGAAUAAGUUGAAGAUGCCACCUUUGAUGUGCUUGAAUAAUCUGCUGCUCGAUAUAAUUGAGGAUGCCUUGAUUGAAGAUCUUAACCUGAGGCCUUGAGCUCCACAGCUUUGAAGAAAAGUCUUAUUAAGUGACCAAGGGUCUUUUUGGUCACUCAAAUUAGACUGUGGGAUUAUACAAGUUCAAAGUAUUUAAUUAAUCAAAAUUGCUUUUGAUCAAUUUAAUCAUGGGUUUUUAUUUGGUUUUGUGGGGAACUAGGUUAGGAUCUAGUUAAAGUUUGUAAUUGUUGGAAACUAUCCUGAGGGAUCAUGCAUUAGAAGAUGAUUGAACAUUCUAAGUUAGAAGUUAGAAAUCCUAAGGGAGCAUGUCAAAAUAUUGAUUAAAAGGCUUAUGUUAAGUCCUACAAUUAUUGGGAAAUGAUUGAAUUCUAAUCCUAAGGGGAGCAUGCAAUUUUAACAUAAAAAUACCAAAAUAAGCCCAAAAGGGGCAAAUUGAUCAUUUACUAAAAUAUGUCUAAUUUUAUUCACGGCCUAAAAGGGAUUCUGACCUAAAGUUGAAUUCUAAUCCUAAUGUUGAGAAUAGUGACAUUCUAAAUUUAAGCAAACAUAAUUGUUUCUAAUUUCAAUCUAAUUAAAAAUCCCAAUUAAAUUCUAAUGAAAAAUCCUAAAAUGUGAACUAAUCCUAAUUAAAAUUCUAAAAUAUGAAUUAAUCCUAAUUAAAUUCUAAAGUGUGAAUUAAUCCUAAUUAGGUCCACAAAUCUUAAAAUCCAGAUUUAAAUCCUAAUUUUCAAUUAUCAAUCUAAUUAAACUAAUAUUAACCUAAUUAAUCUAACCUAAUUGAAAAAAAACUAAGAAAAUGAAAGAAAAAAAAAAGCAAUUAAAAGGGAGGUUGGAAUUGGAAAUGGAGGUGCAUAGUGGAUUCUAGUUAAUGGGUUGCAAGUGAGCCCAAUACAGUUUUUUGUUCAGAAAAUUAAUCAAAAACAAAGGUGGGGUGUGAAAUAAAAACAGAAGUGGGCUGCGUCUGAGCCCAUUACCAUUUCAAUCGUUUAAAGGGGGGUGCAUGUUGGAAAUGUGAGGUGAAUUAGAAAAAUAGGCUAAUGGGCUUGGUUGAGCCCAAGAUUCAUUUCCUUCACUAAUCAGGGGGGUGUAUGAAUGAUGUGUGGCGUAUGAAGAGCAAUUCCAAUGGGCCUUAAGGAAAAUGAGCCCAGUACUAUCACCUUUGUUUACUUGUCUAAGUCAACAGAGUUUAAACUCUGACUGCGCGAGCUCGUGGUUCACCGUCCGUUCAUUAUGGUCACCGUGCCGGCGUGUGUCACUGGCUCCGGUAUUGGCUCAUGGUCAAAAUUUACGUCUCAAUCGAAGCACAAAGCCAAGCUGAUCAUGAAUAUGGCAAUGAAAUGGGAAAACACUUCUUGUGUUGGUCGAAUCGCACAUCUAAAGGGAUGAAGCCUAGCCGAUUGCAAGCUAAAUUAAAUAGUGUAUGGCGCCAAUCAAUCCCUACAACUAUGGGGUUUCCACUCCCUACUUCAGAUACUACAACUUGGUAAGCUCAAAACAAGAAAAUGCCACUGAAAUGGAAAUGACAUAUCGGAGAAGAUGAUCGGAAGAUUUGCUGGUAAGCUUUCUGACCUUGAUUCUCUUUUCUUCUUCUUCUUUCGCCUUCUUCCUCUUCUUUUGGAUUAGAACAAAUGGAAAAUAUGAAUGUUGUGCCUUAGCUCAAGGGAAAUUGACGCUUCAAGGUGAAGCUUCAAUGGCUUUUCUGUGAGAGAGUGAGAGAGCUUUGGUGAGGGUGAUGGAAGAGAUUGUAGAGAGAGCGUGCACAAAUUCACAAGGUUCCAAAGGUCCUUAAAGUGAGAGAGAUGAAUCUCUUAAAUAGAUUUUUGGUUCGGACCUCACUAGCUUUGGACUUAGGUAUGGAAUUAGUUAAACAUGGUUUGGAGUUAGUUGGACUCAACUCACUGAGUUAACUGAAAUACUCAGUUAGUUAGAAACGACUCAGUUAGUUAUGUGAGUUGAUGUUGGUUAGUGAGUGAAUGAAUUAAAAUUUGACUGGAUGCUGCAGGUUAUGGUUAAGUUGCAGUUAUGUUGCGAUCAUUUUGGGUGACAUGUUAUUCAAGUUACAAAUUGAGUUUAAGUGACCCUGGCCUUAGCUUGGAAUAAUGAAGAAUACAUGUUAGUAGCUUUGGUGCACCAACUGGCUGUAGUAUGUAGCAUUAGAAUUAGGAUUAGCUAAAUGCAAGUGUGUUUUGGUUUGUACUUUGAAAGAUGAAUGUGAUCCUUGGUUCCUGAUUUGGUUUAAUGCUUCAUGAGUUUAAUUUCCACUAAUUGUAUUCAAUGCCCUGUUCUCAUUGGUCUUUCUUGUUGCAGCCUAAACUUGGUUGGGUCUUGCAAUGCCAUGUUGGAUCUUUGGUCAGUUUAGCAGGUGGCAAGUAUGGCUUUUAUAUGCAAAGCUCCUAUUGGUUUUGGCCUCUGCAAGACACAGUCUCCAUUCAGGUUUUGAUUUGCAGCAUUGUGGCCUUGGUGUCUAUUGCAACAACUUGGGUUUGAAUCAGGCUUGCGUUGCAGGUUUGGUCAUGCAUUACUGGUGCAGGUCCUUGGAACUUGAACAUGUUGCAUGUCUAGUACAUGACUCAUGGCUUGGUACAUUGAAGGAUUGCAGCGAGGUUGCGUGCCUGUAAGCAUUUGGCUUAGGUUUCAAAGCAUUGUAGCAAGCAAUCCAAAGGUCAGCUGACAGUUGAAUUGGCUAUGUUACAGGCAUGUGUGUUAGGUUCAUUAUGCAAAGUUUCAAUUCAUGUAUCAUGACUGAGUUGUUUGAAUGGAUUCCCCUGCAAGUUGUUUUGGUCUUGGUGUUUGUUGAUGAUGGCAAGAGUGUAUCAUAUGGCAAGGCUAUUGUAGCAGUAGGCUCUUGUGGAUUUGCAACAGGUAUGAGGAUCAUGAUGGUUUGGUGUUGUAAGGUUGUUGGCAUGAAGCUUCUUGGUAUGGCUUGUUAAUAACUUGGUCUAUUGUUGCUUCCAGCAAGUCAACCGGUUUAGGUUUCCAAUGCCUUGCAAUUCAUCUGUCUCGAUUCUUUUUGUUGCACUUCAAAAUGUGGUGUAUGGCAUCAGGGUUUGGCUGCAACCAUUUGAUGUUGGCUUACUUGUGGUCUUGGUUAAACCAAGUGUAGAAUGCCUAAUGGACAACCUACCCAACUCCAAACAUGUUGAAUAUCCAUUGUAUGCCUGCUGCAGGAUUUGGUGUAAGUUAUUGCCAUGUUUCACAAGCUACCUCAUGCAGGUUUUAUGCUUGAUGGCUUGGCUGAGCAAGGUAAAACAAGUCUUAAAUGGUUUGUAAGGCUUGAGAUAUGUUUAAUGUCAUGCUGUUUGUUAUGCCAUGAUGUUUCUCAAUGGUUUUGACAUGCCAUGAUUGGGGUUGGUUAUGUUGAUACUGCAGGCAGGGCAAGGUGCUGCAGGACAUGGGAUGAACUGCUGCAACAACAGGGUUAGCCUUGAUGCUCCCAUGGUUUGAUCAUGCAUUCCCAUGAUUUGAUGUAUAAGGUUUUUGUUUCAUUACACUGGUUCCAUAACCUUGUAGCAGGUCUGAGUUUAUGUGGCAGGCUCAAUAGUUCAUUUUUGACUUGGUGUUUUGUAGGUUUGUGGAAAUGGACAUGAUAUUUGCAAGGUUACUUGUGAAUGAAGCAACAAGGUAAAUGCAAGAAAUCAUGGCCUUUGGAUGGUGAAUCAAGACCAAUGUGAUGUGAUUAGGAUUAGGUUUGGGAAAUUAGGGCUUUAAGAUUUUAGGGUUGACUUUGGUCAAAGUUGACCAAAAAGUCAAAUGUUGACCAAAGGCAACAAUUGGUCAAAAUCCCAUUUUCUUUGCAUUUUCUUUGUAAAUGGACAAUGAAUUAUUGGUUAGGGUGAAAUUUAGGGGUUUUUGGACUUUGGGUUGACUUUGGUCAAAGUUGACCAAGAAGUCAACUGUUGACCAAAGUCAACAUUUGGUCAAAAGUGUCAAGACUUGUAUUUUCUUAUGUUGAAUCAAAUGUAAUGGUUUAAAAUGACAUGAAAUGGAUUGAAAUGGUUUGAAAUUGGUUUAUUUUAUGACUUGACUUUUGAAAAAUAACUUGACUGAUAAUGUACAUGAACAAAGCCAUCAAGUGAGACCAUAAGAUUAGGGUUUUGACAUAGUGUCCAUGUAACAAUGGCAUGACCACCAAAAGGCUUGAAACACAAGGAAUUUGGAUAUUCAUAUGAUAAGGACCAAAGGCAUAUCCCCAACCAUAUGGAUAAAAUCAUUGACUUGGGACCAAGACCAGUACUCCAGGAAGGGUAAGGCCAAGCAAAAAUUAUAAAGGGUAAAGAUUGAAGGAUCAUAAGUACACAAUAAGGCCACCAAGUUCAUCUGAUUCCCAUAUUCUGAUUAGGGUUUUGGAGACCAAGAUAAGGCUUGGGUGGAGCCCCAUGAAGCCAUUCCUUGAGGAAUUAGGGCUUUGAAGGCCCUAGACUGUCUGGCCCACCUUUGUUGAAAUCAAACCUUCACCACCAUCAUUAGGGUUUCACAUCCCCUAUGCUGAUGAUGUGAUUAGACCAUGCCCUUGAUCUUUGAUAUCCGUGCAAACCCUAGCUUUAUGAGCCCAAGUUUCUUAUGAGUCCCUGAUGAAUGAUGCAUGUGGAUGAGUUAUGAAUGUAUACAAGUCAUCUCCUAAUCAAGUGAUUGGAUGCAUAGGUGAGAAAGGGGAAGGAAAAUUUAGGGGUACAACAGCUGCCCCUAUUUAAUCUCCUUGGACCUAAAUACAGGAAUUGCAGAAGCUUUUCAGGUAUUCAAGGUAGAAGUGGAUUAAAUAUCUACGUGCCCGAAAUUUGCCGGACCAGGUGAUUGGCUUUAUUACCAAUGUGGAGAAGAUGUUUUAUGCAUGAUGUAUGCUUAUUUUUUAUGAUGCAUGUUUUUUUCCUUAUUUGUCGUAUGUAGGGAUGAGUCUUUAUUGUGGUGUGAACUCCGACUCGUCAUUGAGAAUUAGAACAUGAUUACCGAGAAGUUUUAAUUGCUGCGAAUGCUGCCAUUACGGGAUCCCCGUCUAUUAAGGAAUACUGAAAGGCUAGAGUCCCCCACGGUGUCCCAGCUGAUUGAAUGUCACAGUUAUCCAAGUAACACCACUGUUGAGUCACCGAUCACCUAUCAGGUUUAUCGGGUUUCAACGGUAAUGCAAAGUGUUUGUCUUUAAUGUAGCUUUUUAUUAUUCCCUGGAAUUUUAAAGCAUUAUGAGAGUAAGACAAGCCAGUUACUUUGCAUACAAAACAUAGAAUAAAUACGUUCGAUGGAAUAACUGAAUUUUAUUGAUAUAGAAUCUGUACAUAUGAUGAGAACAAAGAUGCAGGCGCCCUUAAUGAGGACGUUGCAAAAAUUGAAAAAAUAAUUGAAAUGGCAAUAGGAAAUAUUUUUGUAUGAUUUUCUCCAUUGAUUACAACGUUGGCCUUAGUCUACCAUAUAAUCUGAAUCCCAAGAUCUUGCUUCGGCUGACGGUGAUUGGAUCGGUCCUUGACCCUCUGACAUCUAGCUUGUAGCAUGUAGACUUAAGGAUCGUAGCCAAUGCCUUUAUCCCUAACUUUUUCCUGGAUCUUUCAAUUAUUUUUGUCCAUCGGGAUGCUCCUUUUUGCCUAAGCCGCCCUUUCGAGUUUUCGGCUUAGCGAGGUUAAUAUGUGUUCCCUAACUUUUGCAUGGACGAAUCAUUUUUUGGUCUAUCGGGAUAGCCAUUUUUGCCUAGAUUCACCUUGCAGAGAUUAAUCUAGCGGACUUUCAUCAUUUCUUUUUAGGCAUAAUAUAUUUUGACUAUGUCUGCAUUCACUAGCGAAGGCAGAUCUUCCCCAUCCAUUAUUGUGAGGAUUAGAGACCCACCUGAGAAGGCCUUUUUGGCCACGAAAGGUCCCUCAUAGUUGGGCGUCCAUUUGCCUCGCGGGUCUGAGUGAAUGGCAGAAUACCUCUUGAGCACGAGGUCUCCAACGUGGUACGCACGAGGAAGAACCUUCUCAUCAAAAGCUUGUUUGAGACGUCUUUGGUAUAACUGACCAUGACAGACGACUGUCAAACGCUUCUCUUCAAUUAGAUUCAGCUGGUCAUACCGAGAUUGAGCCCAUUCAGCUUCAUUAAGAUCUGCUUCCAUGAUGACCCUGAGUGAAGGAAUCUCGACUUCGAUCGGUAGAACGACCUCCAUUCCAUAAACUAGAGAGUAAGGAGUUGCCCCAUGGAUGUGCAGACUGAGGUUCUGUAACCGUGUAAAGCGAAAGGUAACAUCUCAUGCCAGUCCUUGUAUGUCUUGACCAUCUUCUGGACGAUUCUCUUGAUAUUUUUGUUAGCUGCUUCUACGACGCCAUUCAUCUUAGGCCGAUAUGGUAAAGAGUUGUGGUACUCGAUCUUAAAUUCUUCACACAACUCCCUCAUCAUAGUGUUAUUGAGGUUACUGGCAUUGUCAAUGAUGAUCUUGCUAGGUAUUCCAUAGCGGUAAAUUAUCUCUUUCUUGAUAAACCGGGUAACCACUUGUCGAGUGACAUUAGCAUAUGAAGCAGCCUCAACCCAUUUCGUGAAGUAAUCAAUAGCGACUAGGAUGAAUCGAUGUCCAUUGGAAGCUUUGGGCUCUAUCAUCCCAAUCAUAUCGAUGCCCCACAUAGAAAAGGGCCAUGGAGACGUUAGAACAUUUAACGGAGUUGGUGGCACAAAUAUUUUAUCACCAUAUAUCUAGAACUUAUGGCAUCUUUUCACAAAGUUAUAGCAAUCAACCUCCAUUGUCGUCCAAAAAUAACCAGCCCGGAGAAUCUUCUUGGCCAUAGCAGGACCUUUCGCAUGUACACCCUCGCAGCCCUCGUGUAUCGACCUUAUGAUUGUACUAGCUUCGUGUCUAUCCAUGCAUCUGAGCAGUACAAAAUCAUAAUUCCUUUUAUACAACACAUCACUGUUUAGGAAGAACUUAGAAGAGAGUCUUCUUAGAGCCUUCUUAUUGGUAAUGGAUAUACCCUCGGGAUACUACUACUUUUCCAGAAAUGUUUUAAUGUCAUAGAACCAAGGCUUGUCGUCAGGGUCAGCCUCAAUUGUUAGACAAUGUGAUGGUUCAUCUAAGUGGUCAAUCUGGAUAGAUGGUGCUUCAUUCUUCCAUUUGACUUUGAACAUAGAUGCUAGCGUGGCUAGGGUGUAUGCUAACUGAUUUUCUUCCCUAGAAAUAUGGUGAAAGGAGAUUUCAUCAAAAUAGGGUAUCAGUUUUCUGAUGUGCUCUUUGUAGGGUACCAACGUGCUAUCCCAAGUCUCCCAAUCGCCUUUCACCUGAAUGAUCACCAAAGCUGAAUCACUGAAUACCUCAAGUAUUUUGAUUCUCAAGUCAAUUGCCGCCUCUAAACCGUAGAUACAUGCUUCAUAUUUUGCCAUGUUGUUGGUGCAGUCAAAACACAGUCUAGUGGUAAAGGGAAUGUAGAAACCAGUUAGAGAGGUGAUAACAACACCUAUGUCGUGACCUCGGGCAUCGAAAGCACCGUCAAACACGAGCGUCCAUCGCGAUCCUGGUUCGGGGCCUUCCUCAGGGCUUACCUCGAAGCCUGGCAUAGUAAAGUCUAUGAUAAACAUGAUGUCUUCAUCUGGGAAGUCAAACCUCAACGGUUGAUAACCUUCGAUAGGAAGGUGAGCGAGAUAGUCAUACAAAACACUUCUUUUUAUUGCUUUCUGGGUCACAUAUUGUAUAUCAUACUCGGUUAGCAACAUUUUCCACCGGGAAAUUCUACGAGUAACAGCAGGCUUUUCGAAUAUAUACUUUAUCGGAUCCAUCUUGGAUAUCAAUAAAAUAGUGUCGCAAAUCAUAUAUUGUCUCAGGCGUCGAGCAUCCCAAGUCAAAGCACACCAAGUCUUCUCUAAAAGUGAGUAUCGGGUCUCACAUUCAGUGAAUUUAUUGCUGAGAUAGUAGAUAGCAUGUUCUUUCUUGCCUGUGUCAUCGUGUUGACCCAAAACGCAAGCCAUAGAUUCAUCAAGCACUGUGAGGUACAUAAUGAGUGGUCUACCAGGAACCGGUGGUACCAAGAUUGGUGGUUCUUGCAAGUACUUUUUUAUUUUAUCAAAUGCCCCUUGGCAAUCGUUGUUCCACACAAUCGAUUGGUUCUUUCUCAACAAUUUGAAUAUCGGUUCGCAGGUAGCCGUCAGGUGAGAUAUAAAUCUGGAGAUGUAAUUAAGUCGCCCAAGGAAGCCUCAGACUUCUUUUUCUGUUUGGGGAGCUGGCAUAUCUUAGAUGGCUCGAACUUUGUCGGGAUCAACUUCGAUACCCUUCUGACUGACUAUGAAACCCAAAAGUUUACUUGAUCGGACCCCAAAAGUACAUUUUUCUUGACUCAGACGCAGUUUAAACUUUCGGAGUCUGACCAACAACUUCCUCAGAUUUACUAGAUGAUCUUCCUCAGUUCUGGAUUUGGCAAUCAUGUCGUCCACAUAAACCUCAAUCUCUUCAUGAAUCAUGUCGUGAAAGAGUGUUACCAUGGCGCGCUGAUAUGUUGCCCCUGCAUUCUUCAAGCCGAAUGGCAUGACUUUGUAGCAGUAAGUUCCCUAAGGUGUGAUAAAAGUCGUCUUCUCCAUAUCGUCUGGUGAUAUCUUUAUUUGAUUGUACCCAGAGAACCCAUCCAUGAAAGAAAAGAUGGAGAAUUGAGUUGUGUUGUCGACCAAAACAUCAGUAUGAGGCAAAGGGAAGUCAUCCUUUGGGCUGGCUCUAUUGAGGUCUCGAUAGUCUACACACAUUAUGACUUUACCAUCGUUCUUCGGAACUGGAACGAUAUUGGCAACCCACUGCGGAUACUCAGAAUGGCUAAGAAGCCAUCAUCUAGCUGCUUUUUAACCUGUUCCCUGAUCUUGAGCGCCAUAUCGGGUCUGGUCCUUUUGAGCUUCUGCUUGACUGGACGACAUUCGGGCUUGAGCGGUAGGUGAUGUUCAACAAUGUUGGUAUCUAACCCCGGCAUAUCUUGAUACGACCAAGCGAAGACGUCAACAUAUUCACGUAACAAUUCUACCAACUCGGAGUGUACAUGCUUGGCAAGAGAUGCCCCAACUUUUACCUCUUUUUUGUCAGUUUCAGAACCCAUACCAAGCGAAGACGUCAACAUAUUCACGUAACAAUUCUACCAACUCGGAGUGUACAUGCUUGGCAAGAGAUGCCCCAACUUUUACCUCUUUUUUGUCAGUUUCAGAACCCAAGUUAAUGACAUCCACCAGUUCUUUGUAUGGCUGAAUCUCUUUCUCUUCGUGCUCAAGGAGUCGUGCUAGUUCAGCUGGUAAUUCACAAUCUUCCUCACUGUCGUCUUCAGCUUGGUUGAUUGGAUGUUCAGAUUCAUAGUUGAUUUUAGCCAUGUCGUAAUCAAUGGUUUAAUUUUCUCUACAUAUGAUGAGCUUAUUUUAGUAUGCUUCUUUUUUGAGAAAAUAUGGAAAAAAGAAAAAGAAAUCUUUUUCCAUAUCGUUGUUUUUAGUGAAAACGGAAAAUAACUGAAAGAAAGGGAAGACCAGUUUUGCAUGCAAAAAAGUACUUUUUAUUUAUUCACAUAAUACUUUUAAACAUGAGGGCCCUUACAAGCUAUCCUCUCAUCUCGGGCGAGGACGAGGGAUGGAGAAAACAAAAUGCAUUACAUUUUCCGAGUACACCAUAGGGAUCACGGUGGUUGUCCAAUUAGGAAGCUUGAAUCCUGGAGGACAUCUGCGAACGAGGUUGGGUGCCCCUAGCUUGUUACCACUGGAUUCUCCGAUAACCGCCAUGGUAUGCUCACUUUGAUAACCGACACUGCUGAACUUGACAGGGUUGAAUUGCUUUUUCUUCGGACGCACCUUGCGUGGUGCUGGGUGAUAACCGAUACCAAACCUGUCGUGCUUUUCUGCCACAUUGACGACCUUACCCCAAUCGGGAAGCGGGCCUUUCUCCAAUGUCUGCUUGACACUCUUCACUGAGGAUAGGAUGGUAGAGGAUGAUUGAUUGUUGUUGGCGGUGGCGGAACUGACAUCUUCAAAUUCUAGACAGUGGACUGGAACCACGACGAUCCCCUCAAAUUGGUCGACCGUGAUAUCUUGCAUCACGUGAGCGGUAUUUAGAACUUUCAGUAACGCUUUACGGUGAGCCUCCGAACUCAACAGCAAAUAAAAAAUUGAUAUUUUGGAAGGCGUUUGGUUCAACUGCUCAAUAAUCUUGAAGUCACUCUUCUUGAUCAGUUUGAGGAUUUCCUGACUUUCCUCAAACGUGAUACUUUUCUUGUGAUCCUCAGAUUGUUCUUUCUCAACCAUCGCCCCUUUACCCUUGGAUGCUUCGGCCUCGGCAGCUUUAUCAUUGUCAAUAACCUUCGUCAACACUAGAGCAGUCGUCACAGUCGGAGUGGCGAGUAUAGUUGCCCCUGCCUGUGGAGUCGGCGUAGGAGUUUCCUUCUCUUUAGGCGAGAUAACUACAGGUGCUGGAGACACCCUAGGAGUGUAUUUAGGAGUGAAUACACAGACGCUUCGAGUCAUGCCUCCCGCUCCAGCGAUGUUGACGAUUUCUGUAUCAGGAAUGCAGAUUUAUUUUCCUCCAAAAUACGUUGUGGUCUCAUAAUUCCAAGGUACUGCCUUAGUAUUCUGAUACGGAAACGGAGUUGGAACGCAGAAGUGAAUCGGCUGAAUCCUCUUGGGAGGAGCUUCAACCUUCUUUUUCCAAUAUACAAUUGUUAUUGGUUCAAUCACUUCCACUUCUUCUGCUGCUUGAGAUUUGGAGAACAAUAUUAACCCUUGAUCCAUCAGUGCAUGCACGCACCCUUUCAACUGCUCGCAAUUAUCUGGAUCGAACUCGCAUAUUAUGUGUAGAUGUUUGAUUGGCUGCAUUUUAUGUUAAAACACUAACUAUACUCUGAUAUCUUGACUGAUGUCAUGACAUGCUUUGUAGAUGUUUGAUUGGCUGCAUCCUGUGUUAAAACACUAACUGUACUCUGAUGUCUUAAAUGAUGUCAUGACAUACUUGAGUAGUAUGCUGCAGGUUUAGCUAAUACAGGAUUUACUGAAUGUCAAACUAGAUGUUAUGACAUUCUUCCAUGACAGUAAAUACUGAACUAUAGAAUAGUUGGUUUUUCUGUUAUAGCUCAGUAUUGAGUUCAGUCUGUGUUUCAGGAAAAUAACAGACCUAGCAUAUUGCCUAUGUUCUGGACGUCAAACUGAAUGUUAUGACAUUCAUUCCUGACAGCAUAUGCUAAAGUGGAGGAUGGUUAGUUUUUCUGUUUCAGUAUUUUUCUCAGGCUAUUUUUCAGGAAUCCAACAGCUGAGCUAAAAUCCAGGAAACUAACAACUAAGCUACAAUUAAUGGACCUAACAAAUAGGCCUAAUAUGUGUAGCACCCUUUAUAUGUGGAAAUUAGGUUAACUUGCUUAACCUAUUUUUAGGAAAUACAAGUACAAGGCCCAAGUGCUGCAUAUAAAAGGAUGGCAAUCCUAUUUCAGAACUUAUGGGCGUUUUUAGCGUGAAGCAUUCAUUGUUCCAUUAUACUUCACUGCUGUAGUUUUAUGUGUGUCUUGUAUUAGGUGUAACUUGUGAGCCCAAAAAUAUCACCUAGAUGAUUGCAUUGGACUAGGGUGUCAUUGAGUUGUAAGUGUUGUUCACUCUAAGCUUUUAAGCGUGAGUGUUAUGUUUCUUGAUUAAAGCUGUUAAGACCACAAUCAGAUUGGUUGAAGUAUACUUCACCAUUGUCUUUAAAACUUUAAUUAAGGUUGUCAAUCACUGAGGUGAUUGAGGGAGAUGAGUGAGAGAACUCUGGUUUAGUUUAAGAUUGAAAUGGCAUUGGUAGGUAUUAAGUAGAUAGGAUUAAACAAGUGGUUUAAGGCCUGAAUAAAUACUGCUAAAGUGGAAUUUCCUCCCUGGUGGUAGCCCCAGACGUAGGUGUGGUGACACGGACUGCGGUAAACAAUUCCUUGUGUUAUUUACUGCACUUUACAUUUACCUGCUAUAUAAUUCCUGUCUGCGCAGAAUAGAUGUCAUAACAUCCAGUGUGACAUCGAAAGUCGUUAACAAGAUUUCAAUUUGCAUCAGAGCAGGCACCCUGGCCUGGUUAAUUUUCUGCGGUGACAUCUAGGGACGUUACUUUCUAUACCAUGCGACAAGGAUGUAGGAUACUCAAAUGACCACCAUGCUGGACUGGCUAACUAUGAUGACUGGAAACCUCGUAUGAUAGCCUCUUGAGUCUCUAGAUAGCAAGGUCUGGAGAGAUGUCAACAAAAGGUGGGAACAUCCAACGAAGACAGGUAAGAUGGAAUCAUUAUGCAAAUUCCUGAAGAAGAGUGGGACAAGGAGCAAGAGCAUUAGCCCUGGAAAAUUCUAAGCCUGAAUGCACUGUUCAAUGCGAAUAAUAAGAACAUUUUUCAGACUGUGCAUCACUGUGAACUCGCUAAAGAAGUUUUGGAUAUCCAAAACAACCAUGAAGGACCUCAAGGUGAGGAUGUCUAAACUUCAGAUGCUGACCACCAAGUUGAAAAUCUGAGGAUGAAAGAGGAUAAGACUAUUCAUGACUUCCAUGAAUAUUCUUGAAAUUGCCAACACUUCUGGGCUGAGAAAAAUGUGAAGAAAAACUUGUAACGAAAUUCUCAGUGCAUUUGCCAAAAGAUUUGCCAUGAAGGUCACUGCUAUAAAGAGCGCUCAAGAUAUCUGCAAUAUGAGCGUUGAUGAGCUUAUUGGUUCUGCUUCAAAAACUUUUGAAAUGGGCUGUGUGGAAUGUUGAAAAGAAGAAUAAAAGCAUGCUUUUGCUAUUCAGGAAUACUGAAGAGAUUCAGAAGAAGAAGCUCAGUGAUUGAAGCAUAUCAGAGUCCAUAGCCAUGCUUGGGAUACAGUUCACAAGUUCAUAAAGAAAUUUGAUCAAAGAAGGGUAGACCCAAAUGUCAAAACAUUUCAGUCUACCAUCAGUAAGAAGCAUCAAAAUAUGAGAAAAAGGUCACCCACAGCAGGGAAUCCAGUGCCAGGAGUUCUUGAAAGGUUUUGGUCACAUUAGGUUGAAUGCCCUACCUCCUCAAGAUGCAAAAGAAAGGGCUAUCUUCACUGCGUCUAAAGGAGAUUCUGAGAGUGCAAUCUGAAGGAGAAUCUGCUAAACAUGUCACUGCACAACUAGUGUCUGUGCUCUGAUGAUGACUAAGUGGAGAUAAACUUACCCUGAUUGAACUUCGCUUGCCUUCAUAUAAAGAGCAUGUGUCAAAAAAGUGCAGAAUGUGUAAUCCAAGAGAAAAGCAGAAAGAAACUCAUCAAGGAGAUUGAAGCUGAGAAACAGAGCAUCGACAGUCAUUAGAUGAGUUGAAAUGGUUGAGAUAUCAUUGCUGACAUCUCAAGCUAGAACAAAUGUAACAAAAUCAUCAGAAUGCUGAAUAAAAGGAACUGAACACCUUGGUAAGAGAUUCUAAAGUGUUAGCGACAGAAGCAGCGAACCAUGUCUGCGUUAGGCUUUGUUAGAAAUCCUCAGCCUAACAAAACGCUCAAAGGCUGAAGUUCAGAAACUCAGCAGAAGUCACAGUAAAUCAUGUCUCAACAUCAGGGAACCAGGAUGAGUAACCAUCAGAAAAGAUUUCAAGAUGGAGAUGUCAAUUUGGUAGAUUGUCAUAUAAAAAGCUCUGCUACAGGUGCAUGGUUCCACCCAAACCCGCAAUCAUACCUAGUAAGGCUUAAGCAUAGAUGCCCCCCACAAGAAAGCGACCAAUGGGUUCUAGGUUAGCUCACACAACUCUAAGGGCGUCUACCAGAGAAGACUGGUACUUUGAUAGUGGCUGCUCAAGACAUAUGACUGGUAUGGAGAAUUUAUUGGUGGAUAUACAACCUCACACUACCAGUUAUUUGACCUUUGGUGAUGGUGCUAAAGGAAAAAUCAAAGGUGUUGGUAAGCUGGACAGUUCUGGAGUUCCAGAACUGAAUAAUAUGCUGUUAGUAAAAGGACUAACUGCUAAUCUCAUAAGCAUAAGCCAACUGUGUGAUCAAGGUUUCAAUGUUCAGUUCACUACAGAAUUAUGUGUUGUGACAAAUGGAGAUAAUCAGGAAGUUAUGAGAGGAUCCAGAUCCAAAGAUAACUGCUAUCUAUGGGAACCUAAAGUCUCAAACUACUCCUCAAUGUGCUCCUAGGCCAAGGAAGAACAGGAGGUGAAGUUGUGGCAUAGACGUCUUGGUCAUCUUGAUUUAAGGGGAAUGAAAUAGAUCAUCUCCA